UGGGUGGACGAGAAGCGGAACUACCACCUCAACAGCAACACCUGCGAUGCCGGCAAGGUGUGCGGGCACUACACGCAGGUGGUGUGGCGCAAGUCGACCCGCAUCGGCUGCGCGCGCGUGGUCUGCGCCGGGAACCGGGGCGUCUUCAUCACCUGCAACUACAACCCUCCGGGCAACUUCAACGGCGAGCGCCCGUUCCUCACCCUUGACGCCGAAGCCAAGUAGUACAUACGUGCGUGUGUGUUUUUUUUGCGGGUGACGUGCGUGUGUUUAUCUGUGUGUAUUUUGAAUAUUUACGUCUAUUCUUAUGUUACGUACAGUACGUACGUAAAUAAGCCCACAUUCCGGCCUGCAUGUAUCCAUGCGGCUCUGUGGAGCGUGUAAAUGUAACCAUAUAUACCUCCACAUGCAAAUGUCUUUCCUUUUGUUUUCUUGUUCAAAUCUGGGAGCUAGCCAAAUAAAUGACGAUAACAAUAAUAUUGUGAACCCCUGAAAAAAGAAAUAAUUUGAUAUACUUACUGGACGAUACUUUCAAACGAAAUUUGAAUUUGUUUUUAAGGAUAUCCCCUACAGUAAGCGAUAAGGUUGUAUUUGAUUCUGAGAAUAAGAAAAGCAUAGGAAAAAAAUGUUUUCAAAGAUAAUAAACCCAGUGCACCCUUAUAUUUAUUAAGUAAGAUUGGGUUUGAUUACGAAAAUGUCAAGGUAUAACGAAGACAAAGAUCUGGGGACUUGAACACGUUACUAGCAGAGAAAUGGCACUCUCUUGUGCACCAUUACGCCAAGACCUCGCCAAUGAAACAAACAGAAAGGCACAAGUUUGUAUACGUUAAUGACUUAAAUUCUAAAUAUAUUUGUUAUCAAUGACUUAAAUUCUGAUUAAUCAGGAAAAAUAAUGGGCUGGUGUGCUUCAUAGUUUGGCAUGGGUUCUUACUGCGGCUUUGCUAGAGUACAAACUAUAUUGCAGACAUUAAGAUCCACAUGGGGAUUGGAGUGCAUCUAGGCUGCAUAGUGUUCCCUCUCAGUCAGCUUGUUGUUCGUCACAGGGAGGAGCGGUGACACGACAUGGGUAGGUCUAUGGUGCAGAACGUGGUCUGUAUAUUUUGCAGGGAAUAUAUUUAUUUCAUGUUCAUGUUGUUUUCCUUGGUGUACUCCAUAUAUUAAAUGCUCUUUGAAUUUUCCACAGCUCACUUAAAAGCUUAUCCAUGCAACAUGAUGUUCACUGAAAGUUCGUUUUCUGUGUCGGGGGAAGGAAGAAACUCGAAUACGCUGUCAUGCACAUGAAUCAUUUGAUCCUCCAGCAGGCAGCAGCCUUCGUUGUCUUGACUCCAAACAAAAGCUGAUUAGCCGCCGGGACAACAUGUCAGAAUUUGAAUAACUUGUGUAUUGACCCGGCUCCUCUAUCAUAGCUGUCAAAUGACUAUUAUUGAAGCAUGAUGAUCCGAUCGGUUGCCUUUAGCUAGUCAGAUGUCCUUAUCCUAGUUGUAUGAUAAUUCCUCCGUUCCGAAUUAUUUGUCGCAUAAAUAGAUAGAAAUGGAUAUAUCCAGAAUUAAAAAUAGGUCUAUAUACAUCUAUUACUGCGACAAAUAAUUGCGGAUGGCGGGAGUAUAUGUGAAAGUUUUGGUUGCGCCACCAUACCAGUGUGUCCUUUAUCCUCUCCUCACCGUCCAUUCUUUCAUCAAAUUCGUGAAAGAAAACUUCUCUUUUUUGGUUCUUCCAAAUAAAGAACAUGUAAAUUUGAAACUUUGCAGAUCAACAUCACACAAGUACUGCCAUGUGGAGAAUAGUUUUCGGAUUUUUUGACGCAAGAUAAAUUUUUUAAAAUGAUACAAUUCAUUCUAAAAUUUGAAAUUUGACAAAUUUAUGUUUCAUCCAACAAAAUCGGAAACAUUUCAUACAGUGAGUGACACUUGUAUAUAGUUGAUCCGCAAAGUUUCAAGGUCAAACAGUCUCUUGUUUGGAAGAAACAAAAAAUAGAAACUUCUAUAUAAGGAUAGCACGAAUCUUGAUGCAAACUGACUGGUCUAGAUAGAGUACAUUGGCUGAACUAAUUUCUUUUAGAUUUCUAUAUUUUACACAUCUUAGAAUUAUUAGCCUAUUUUAUUUCUUGAAUUGACAUGUAUUUAUGUGUAUUAGGGCCUGAUAAUUCCUUGAAAUUUUUGUUUGUAUGUAGGAAUACACCCUCAAAAAACUUCCUUUUGCCUAAAGAAAAUUUACGCAUGGGUGAUUUUUCCCAUUUUUUCUUUACAGAGUAUUCAUGUUUGGUUUGGGGCGGUGAGGUGAGGGAGUGUGGGAAUAAUGUUCUCCCAACCCUUUUCCUGUUCCGUUGGCAUGCUUAUCAUCACCGGUGGAAGGCGUGCAGAGCCGUGUCUCUAGCGCGUCUUCCGGAAUCCUAUUGGUUCGGGUUUUUGGUGGUUCUGUCUGGAUACAGCCGGUAUUGGUAGUCUAGGGAGUUCCUACAUGCCCUUAUCUAGUGAAAGUAUGCAAAAUUGAACCUAUGAACCCUAGGUUUUGUUUUCAAUCAUUAAAACUUCAUUUUACUCACUUUUGCAUACUUUUACUUUGUUCAUUUUAUUUAUUUUGAAAGCACAUAAACACUUAUAUCAUCGAAAUUAUUAAUCUCUUCAUCAAACUAGUGCACUUGCUAUAAGGGAACAAACUACACAAUAAAUUUUUAUCGCUACAAUCAUGACCAAGAUCACUAUGACGAUGACAGGAUGAAUCCAAUCUCACCAGCAAAAACACAACAAAGAGGAAGAAGAUGUGGGCAAUGACUCGCCAAUUCCGAUAGCUAGGUCGUACCUCCUAGCUGUGAGAAUAUCUUCAUCGAUCGAGAUUCGGUGUAGAUGACCCCUCAGCGGUAUCGAUGCGUACCAAAUUAGAGGUUUGGCAACACUUCGUUGUCCAGGAAAAGAUGGUCAAGAGGACUAGAGGGAGGAGCAGCCUAGCGGCUUAUCGGUCACACAGUGGGAAAGAGAAAUUUUGCGCAGAAGGGUGCAGUUGUCAUGACUUCACUAGUAGAAAAUAGGCCUUUCGUCUGGUCCAUUAGUCCCAGUCAGGUUUUGGCCCUGGACUAAUGGUACAAUUAGUCUCGGUUCCAACGGCUAGGAUUUAGUCCCGGUUCAUUUUUUACCUAUAGUCCCGGGACUAAAGGGGUGGUGGCAGGCUGGCGUCAGGCUGGGUCCACCACGAGCCCCUUUAGUCCCGGUUUGUAUCACAAACCGGGACUAGAGGUAGACCUCUAGUCCUGGUUUUUAUAACCAACCGGGACUAAAGAUGUCCCUGUAUAAACCCUUCGUCCAGCCCAAGCCCAUUAUCUGCUUUCUCCUUUCCCCUCUCUGCUAUUCCCCUUAGCUCGAGCUCAUCCUCCAUUUUUGCCAAGAUUUGUCAAUAUUUGAGGCACCCCAUCUCUCCAAGUGUUCACAAAGGUUAGCAACUUUGUCCUUUCAUCUCUCAUUGCUAGAUUAGCUCGUGCAAUGCUCUAUAAGUAUAGUGAUUUGUGGGUUUUAGUUUGGGAGUAAUUAUGUGGGAGUUUAUUUGAUUUAUAUGCAAUUUGAGCUCAAAUUAACUUCUUAGUUUGCAUAUGUGUAGGUGUGGUUUACUUAGUGCCUUCCCGUCCCCGUCCUAACCACCGUUGAUCGCGCACACCGUCCCGUCGCCGGCACCACCUUGGUGAGCCUCUUGUUCUUAUCCUUUUUAUAAAAAAAAUCUUAUUUGUAUGAUUUAGAUAGUUACUUGUAUAAUUUUCUUACUUGUAUGAUUGUUUGUUAUACAUAGUGACAUGGUCUUGAUAUCCGUCCCUGUCGGCCCUCGUCCGGUUUAUGAUUUGGAUGUGGUAUUCUCUUUUAUAACUAUUUGUUGCAUUUCGCGUUUAUGACAAUGAUGCCCAUCAAGUUGACAUAGAUAUUUUUAUCUAGGAGGUAUGUGAACCGGAAAUUGCAACCGACCCUCCUGUUGAGAAGUUAAACUUAGUUGAAAAAGAAAAAGUGUAUUUGAAACAAAAAUUGAAAAGAAUUGAAGAAGAGAAGAUGAAAUUGGAGUUGUAUGUUGCCGAUGUCAUCGAUGAUCACAAGAUCAAGAUGGAUGCAAAUGCGCUUGAAGAUUAGAAAGAUUAGAAAAUAUGCCUUUAAUAAAGAGGCUUGGUAUCACUAUGAUGUUGGAUCAAUUGUUACCUUAGUUGCAAUCUUGAUCGCAUUUGUUGUUGCAUUUAGAUGCUUUAGCUUUGUUUUAUGGGAAUAAGUGUGUAUGAACUUGUAUUUUUCGGUGUUGUGUAAUGAAGAUGAGCCGGCAAUGGAUGUACGAUGACUGACGCUCUCCCCAGUUCAUUGAUGGCGUGUAUAGUUUUCUAUGUGCAGCUGAGGCAAACAAGCGGGAUGGUUUUAUGUGUUGUCCAUGUGUUGUCUGUAAGAAUGAUAACAAUUACUCUAGCUCAAGAGUCAUUCACAUCCACUUGUUUACGUCCGGCUAUAAUUGUUGGACCAAGCACGGAGAAAGAGGGAUUCUAAUGGAAGAGAAUGAAGAAGAAGAGGAUGAUGACAGCUAUCCUGGGUUCCCUAAAUACGAUGGUAAUACAAUGGGGAAAGAAGCUGAAGAAGAGGCAUCAGAUGAGCCCGCUGAUGAUCUUGGUCGGGCCAUUGCUGAUGCAAAGAGAAUCUGCGCAAGUGAAAAGGAGAGUUGAAGUUGCAGCGCAUGUUAGAGGAUCACAAGAAAUUGUUGUACCCAAAUUGCGAAGAUGACAAGAAAAAACUGGGUACCACACUGGAAUUACUGCAAUGGAAGGCAGAGAAUGGUGUAUCUGAUAAGGGAUUUGAAAAGUUGCUGAAAAUGUUAAAGAAUAUGCUUCCAAAGGACAACGAAUUGCCCGACAGUACGUAUGAAGCAAAGAAGGUUGUCUGCCCUCUAGGAUUAGAGGUACAAAAGAUACAUGCAUGUCCUAAUGACUGCAUCCUCUAUCGCGGUGAGGAGUACGAGAAUUUGAAUGCAUGCUCGGUAUGCGGUGCAUUGCGCUAUAAGAUCAGCUGCGAUGACCCUGGUGAUGUUGAGGGCGAGCGCCCCAGGAAGAGGAUUCCUGCCAAGGUGAUGUGGUAUGCUCCAAUAAUACCAUGGUUGAAACAUUUAUUCCAAAACAAAGAGCAUCCCAAGUUGAUGCGAUGGCACAAAAAAGACCGUAAGAAAGACGGGAAGUUGAGAGUACCCGUUGAUGGGUCGCAAUGGAGAAAAAUCGAGAGAAAGUAGCCGGACUUUGCAGGUGGUGCAAGGAACUUUUGGUUUGAUUUAAGUGCAUAUGGCAUUAAUCCUUUUGGGGAGCAGAGCAACAAUCAUAGCACCUGGCCUGUGACUCUAUGUAUCUAUAACCUUCCUCAAUCGUUGUGCAUGAAGCGGAAGUUCAUUAUCAUACCAGUGCUCAUCCAAGGCCCCAAGCAACCCGGCAACGACAUUGAUGUGUACCUAAGGCCAUUAGUUGAAGAACUUUUACAGUUGUGGGAUAAAAAUGGUGUAUGUGUGUGGGGUGAGCACAAACGGCGCGCAGGAAUUUGACCUACGAGCGUUGCUGUUUGUAACCAUCAAUGAUUGGCCUGCUCUCAGUAACCUUUGAGGACAAACAAACAAGGGAUACCACGCAUGCAUGCACUAUUUAGAUGAUACCCAAAGUAUAUAUUCGGGUAAAUGUAAGAAGAAUGUGUACCUGGGACAUCGUCGAUUUCUUCCGAUCAAGUUUCUCUUAAGAAAGAAAGGCAAGCAUUUCAAAGGUGAGGCAGAUCACGGGAAGAAGCUUGAGCACCGUACUGGUGAUCAUAUACUUGAUAUGGUCAAGGAUUUAAAAGUAAUCUUUGGAAAGGGUCCUGGCGGACAAUCUAUUCCGAAUGACGCUGACGGACACGCACUCAUGUGGAAGAAGAAAUCUAUAUUUUGGGACCUACCCUAUUGGAGAGUCCUAGAGGCCCACUCUGCAAUCGACGUGAUGCACGUGACGAAGAAUCUUUGCGUGAAGCUGCUAAGCUUCUUGGGCAUGUAUGGGAAGACAAAAGAUACACCGGAGGCACGGGAGGACCAGCAACGUAUGCAUGGAAAAGACGGCAUGCAUCCAAAGCAGUAUCAAGGUCCUGCCAGCUACGCUCUUACCAAAGUAGAGAAGGAAAUCUUCUUUGAAUGCCUGCUCAGUAUGAAGGUCCUGUCUGGCUACUCGUCGAAUAUAAAGGGUGUCGGUGGAAAACGACACCUAUGGGAUCACUGGAAUCCCUUCUACGGUUGGCGGGCAUGGGGUUGUGCAAAGAGCAGGUCUAGAAGCCAGCACAAAGAUCGUUUACCCAGGUUCAGGCCGCGAGGAUGCGUAAUACCCUAGUCCUGCUUUGGUGUAUAUUUCAGUGUUCUUGAGCUCUCGAACUAGCUGUGGUGCGUGCGUAGUCCAAAAGAUCUGAAUCCUUCUCCCGUACGCCUCGAGCCUCCUUUUAUAGUCAAAAGGGGUUGCCAAAGUGACACACAGGAGGUGGAAAGGUAUACAGUGGUUAAGUCUAUCCUCUGGCACCAUUGGAAAAACACAUUUAAUGCGCUGCCAACGUGCCCUUCUUGCUUUAUCGGGGAUGGCUGGCAGCUCGUCCCAGCUGUCGCCGCCUCGCCUGGCUCCGACGCGCGUCCGAGCUGAUGAGGCGUUGUAGUGCCACAUUGGCUGGCUGCUGGGCUGGCGCGGUGGCAGAGUCUUCACGAAGAUCUGUAUGCCACCACAUAGGUGCUUGCUGAGUUGGCCUGGAGGCCGCGCGUCGCCACGCAGGUGCCUGCCCAGCUGUUUGGGCUGGCAGCUGUAUGGGAACAUCGGUGGAGUCUUGGCAGACGUGGGCCUGGCUGUGGCCCCGCAGGUGUCCUCGGCAAGGGUCUUGCCGGGGCCCCAGCAAGGGCCUUGCCGUGGCAUCGCGGUCGUCCCCGGCAAGGAUCUUGCCGGGGGUCUCGUGGUUUCCUCGGCAAGGAUCUUGCCGAGGAUCGUCGUCUUCUGGUCCUCAUCUGAUCUUGUGUGCUUAUGAUCUUCACAAAGAUCCGCAUGCCACCAUGGAGGUGCCUCCCGAGCCUUGGUUCCAAUGAGGUUGAUGGUGUUGGAACCCUUGGGCUCAAGGGUGGCGCGCUCUGCUGGCGUUGGGCAAGUUGCUCCGGCAAGGCUCUUGCCGGGGCUGUUGAGGCCGUCCCGGCAAAGGGCUUGCCGGGGGAGUCCACCUCGCCCUUCUGCUCUUUGUGUUUCCGUCUUGGCGUUGAUCUAGUCAUCUUGUGCCUUUGCUUCUUCUGCCCCGCCAAGCGUGGUCAGGGGCGUGGGGUUGCGACUACCCGCGCACAAGUAAAGGGGUGCAAAAAAAGAACCCCUACUUUUGUACACCGACAGGAGCCCCCGGGCCUGGGCCACAUAUAAGCGCGGAGCGUUAUUGGGCCAGGCCCAGAACGGUGCGCGGGCGCGCGGGCGGUGGAGUUUUUACCGCAGUAACUCCCUUGCUUGCUUGCGCUUCCCCACGACCCGCAUUGAAUGCGUGACGUGGAGGGUCGUGUGUGACGUUGGGGUCAUGCGUGGGGCGGUUCCUACCCUCAUGCGUCACAUCGCGGUAAAGAGGCGGCUCGCGCCUUCCCCAUAAAAAGAGGAAAACGCAGGGGCGCGGCUCAUUUACUGAGUGGACUCGAGUCGUGGCCUUCAAGGCGCCCGUGCCCUACGAUCACGGGGUGGAAAACGGUCACCUCACUCAUCCCCUCGAUUUCUUCUUGCUCGCCACAUGUCCCCCAUGCCUCGAAGAUGGUAGGCGGCAGACGCGGGUGGCACGGGCCUUAAAUGGCGAGGCGGGAAACCGGGUCGCCGCUGAUUGGAGCAGCGGGUCGGUCUCGAUUCCCUGCGCCCCUGAUGGCAGCGUUGGUUGAGUGGGGCGGCCGAGCCCCGACCCCACCCCUUUAUAAGAAGGGGAGGGGAUGGUACCCCUCAAUCUUUCAUCAUUAAUCUCCUUCCACCUUGGCUCCUUUAUUUCUUCUGGUAUGGCGAGAGGGCGCGCCGGCACUUCGACGGUGGCGACGAGGGUCUCCGCUCGACAGCGCGCCCCUCCUUCCCAAGAGCUCGUGGCGACGGAACCGGCCACGAGAGGAAGGGGGAGGGGGCGAGGCCGAGGUCGCCGUGCCACUCGGGGAACAGGAGGAUGGGGCGGUGCACCGGCCUCGCCUCCGCCAGCGGUCCCUCCCCUAAUGGAGGGCCACGUCGGGGACCAGCCCCGCAACUUCUUCAUCAGGCUGCACCGGCCAGUGCGCCGUCGUCUUCGUCUCCCUGCUCCUUUCGCUCGGGAGAUGGAGCUCGACUAGCCACAGACUCUGAGGUUGCAUAUGAGGGGCUGCGGGAAUGGCGGCACGCGGGUUGAUGUCGACUUUUCCAUCCCUCAUGUCAUGUAUCUUCGUCGCGGAUGGAAGACCUUCGCUCAUGUCCAUAGCCUGACGGAGGGGCUCGUUCUCUACUUCAAAUUAAUGGAGAACGGCCUGCUCUCCGUCAAGGUCUUUGGGGACUUUGGAACUCGCCUAAAGUGUUGCGUGGAGAGCUCCUCCGAUGACGAAGACUCCUCCUCAAGCGGAAGUGACGAGGAGGACAGCGACAGCGACGACGAGGGCGUCGAGCGGGGGGACACCGAAUCCGACUCCGACUGACCGCGUCGCCCCUCCCUUGGCCACGCGCCCUGCCGAGGGCCUUCCUCGUCAAGCUCUCCAUCAGCGCGUUCCCCGUCGCCCCCUUUUUUCCUUCACCUACCGCACCUGGGAGGAAAGGGGCAAGAACGGGGAUCAUGGGGCACUUAUCUUUUUUUAGUUUGUAAUCCUACGGGCCUUUGUAAGAUUUAAAUCUCGUAACCCCCUUGCUCAUGUAUGGAUUCCGUACGAAUUGUACUUGUUAGCAACGUAUUAAUCAGGAGAAGGGUGUUUGUCGGGUUUUGUUUGCGCGUGGGCAAGGGCCACACCAAGGAACGAGUCCUCGUUAUCUUAAGAUAAACACUGUACCCCGGCAACAGGCCUUGCCGUCUUCCUACUCUAUAGCUCGGUUACACUCACGCCCUUGGCGGAGGUAGGGGCCGAGUAGGAUUAGGCCCUUCGCUCGUCCCCUCCCCAUCGCGCUACAACCAAGUUCCAGCACAAAGUAAGGUUUUCGGACACGGGACAGAGGGAGCAAGAUGGUAUGAGAGCGAGUGAAGUCUCGUACGUUCAAGUUUCAUACGGAGGUACAAAGUGGGGGGAAAAGACUUAUCUGAUGUCGCAGCCCCUGGCAACCUUGGCUUGCCAUGAUCAGAUCCUUAGACCUACAGCCCCCGGCAACCUUGGCUUGUCGGGGUCGAGGCGUCGGCCUGUUCUCUUCCUUCCAAAAUAGCUCAGCGGAAAUGUCCACGCACCCUGUGAACCAAAAAGGACGGGAAGGAACAGAGAGAUGCAUACUCGAACUCUAUGCUAAGGGUUAGUCGCCGCCAAGCAAUAUCAACCCUAACACACAGAGAGACUCAACCUAGCAUGCAUGCUAAAACUUAGGGCGCCAGCGCUUCAUUUAUUUAUGCUCAGGGUCUGCGCCUGGCUUUGUACAAAGGGUUACAUGCCUUGCCGGCAAGGCUUGCACAAAAGGUGGUUUGCCGGGGAGCUCGGCAACCGCGCCUUAUGGGUAAAACUUGCGAAGAUGUUCGAUGUUCCAGGAGUUGCUCACUGGAAUACCAUCUUCGGUCUCCAGGCGGACUGCGCCGGGCCUGGUGACUCGUAUUACCCGAUAAGGGCCUUCCCACUUCGGCAUCAACUUGUUGGAAUUCUUGGCCGACUGAACAUGCUGAAGAACAAGGUCGCCUUCCUCAAAGCUUCGGGCAUAAACCUUGCGGCUAUGGUAGCGGCGCAAGGCUUGCUGGUAGCGUGCUGCUCGCACAGCCGCCCGAAGACGAUCUUCCUCAAGGAGCGUUGCGUCAUCUUGCCACAACUGCUCUUGCUCAAGCUCAUCAUAAGCGAGCACUCGAGGUGACCCGAACGUGAGUUCCGUGGGGAGAACUGCUUCUGCCUCGUAAACGAGGGAGAAAAGUGUCUGGCCGGUGGCUCGAUUUGGUGUCGUUCUGAUUGACUAAAGAACCGCCGGUAACUCAUCAAUCCAGCGCCGUCCGCACUUGUGUAGCCUGUCAAAAGUUCUUGUCCGGAGGCCUCACAAUACUUCAGCAUUCGCCCUCUCACCCUGGCCAUUUCUUCGUGGGUGUGCAACAGAAGCAAAACAGACCUUGAUGCCGAGGUCCUGGAUGUACUGCAUGAAGGUGCGACUCGUGAACUGCGUGCCGUUGUCGGUGAUGACUCUAUUUGGCACACCAAAAUGGCAGACUAGUCCCUUGAAGAAUUUGGCGGCCGACUGUGCUGUCACCUUUCUCACUGCCUCCACCUCCGACCACUUUGUGAACUUAUCGAUUGCGACGUACAAGUACUCAAAGCCCCCGACAGCACGGGGAAAGGGGCCCAAUAUGUCGAGCCCCCAAACCGAGAAUGGCCAGGAAAGAGGGAUUGUUUGUAGAGCUUGAGCUGGUUGUUGAAGCUUCUUUGAAUGGAACUGGCACGCUUCACACUUGGUUACUAGUGUCGUUGCAUCCUGGAGGUUUGUGGGCCAGAAGAAACCUUGCCGGCAAGGGCCCUCGACCCUAUGUGGGAGCCACAUAUGCCUCAGUGUAUCUCUGCCAACAGCUCCAGUCCUUCCUCCUGGGGAAUGCACUUUAAUUUCACACCGUUUGGUCUUUUUCUGUACAGAACGUCGUCGACAAACUGAUACAUGGCAGACUGACGGGCUACUUUCUCCGCUUCUUUCUGCUCCUCAGGGAGUUCCCUUGUUUGGAGGAAUCGGACGAUAUGUUGUGCCCAUGCCGGAGCCUGGGGCUCGACGGCAAGGACCAAAGGCAUUUCCUCUGCCAUGGGAGCGGCUGUCUCUACGGCCAGGGCUUGACGCCCUGCCGGAGCCUGUUGCCCCAUGGUCGGCUCAGUGUCCAUGGCAACAUCCUUGCCGACGGCUCCUGGGAGCUCGGCGGGAAAGUACUUGCCGGGGCCUGAUUUCCUCCGCUUGUUCUACUCUGUCGAUGGUUCAAUGGAUGGUUGAGUUAACCAAAGCACAAAAGUACCUGGUUCCACAGGUAGUUUGAGGGCAGCGCGUUUCGACAGGUAGUUGGCGAUGUCGUUCUCCACUCGGGGAACAUGCUCCGCUUGUAUACCGUCAAAACGCUCCUCCAGCUUCCUCACCUCAUCUACGUAGGCCUCCAUCAACGGGCUUUGAUAAUCUUUGUUAACUUGCUUGACGACAAGCUGUGAAUCACCCCUAACGAUGAUCUUCUUGAUUCUGAGGUCUGCCGCGAUCCUGAGACCGGUAAGAAACCCCUCGUAUUCAGCAGUGUUGCUUGUUGACAUCUCCCUGGGAAAGUGCAUCUGGACUACAUACUUGAGGUGCUCUCUAGUGGGUGCAACGAGCAGCACACCAGCACCGGCGCCUUGCAGCGAGAAAGCCCCGUCAAAGUACAUAAUCCAGUCGCGACUUGUUUCCUUGCCGGGAGUGGUCUCCUGAAUCUCUUCGUCGGGCGUUGAGGUCCAUUCCGCAAUGAACUCCACCAAGACUCUACUCUGAAUUUUCGAAGUGCUUUCAAACUUCAAACCAAAGCUCGACAGUUCCAAAGCCCAUUCCACAAUCCUCCCGGUUGUGUCUGGGUUAUGCAAUAUCCUUUGCAACGAGAAGCGGGUGACGACGGUGAUUUCGUGUGCUUGGAAGUAAUGACGCAGCUUCCUCGAGGCCAUAAGAAGGCCGAAGAGCAAUUUCUGCACACUGGAGUACCAUGACCUAGCCCCCUGCAAGAGGGAGCUGACAAAGUAAACCGGGCGCUGCAUCAUCUUCUUCUUCCGCACUAUUUCAUUUGGUUGCGUCGCUUCUGCUUCGCCAGCGUCAGACUCUGCCGGGGGCCUUGCCUUACCGGCACCAGGCCCUGCCGGGGGGAGCUCUGGUUUGCCAUCCACCAGCCCUGCCGUUGCCACUGCCUCUUCGUCGACCUCCCUCUGUGCCACUAGCGCGGCGCUGACCACUUGGUUCAUUGUCGUAGAUAUAGCAACAACGGUUCUUGUGGUUCAGGCGCAACCAGUAUUGGCGUAGAGGAGAGGUACUUCUUCAAAUCCUGCAGGGCUGCCUCGGCCUCUGGGGUCCAUUCCAUUGGGCCCGCCUUUUUCAAGAUUUUGAAAACGGGAAGGGCACGUUCGGCAGACUUGGAGAUGAAUCUGCUCAUGGCGGCAACGCAGCCAAUGAGCCGACGUACAUCCUUGAUCCGCCUAGGUGCCUUGAUCUGCUCAAUGGCCUUGAUCUUGUCUGGAUUCGCCUCGAUCCCACACUGUGACACAAAGAACCCGAGAAGUUUGCCGGACGAAACGCCGAAGACAAACUUCCCAGGGUUCAGCUUGAGGUUGAUCUUGCGCAAAUUUGCAAACGUCUCUUCUAAAUCUUGUACGAGUGUUGCCCUGUCCUUGGUUUUGACCACUAUGUCAUCCAUAUAAGCUUCCAUAUUUGUAUGUAGCUGGGGCUCAAAAUGAAUUUGGACCGCUCUUGCAAAUGUUGAGCCAGCACUCUUCAACCCGAAAGGCAUUCGUAAAAAACAAUACGUACCACAUGGGGUGAUGAAUGUUGUCUUCUCUUCAUCUUCUCUCGUCAUGAAGAUCUGGUGGUAUCCUGAGUAGGCGUCAAGGAACGAUAACAAGUCGCACCCGGUCGUGGAGUCAACAAUCUGGUCAAUGCGCGGCAAUGGGAAAGGGUCCUUCGGACAAGCCUUAUUGAUAUCUGUGUAAUCAAUACACAGCCUCCACUUCCCAUUUGCCUUGCGCACCACCACCGGAUUGGCCAACCACGUCAGAUGAAGUCCUCCCCUCACCAAGCAUGCCGCUUCUAACUUCCUGAUCUCCUCCGUGAUGAACUCCUGCCGUUCCAAAGCCUGCUUCCUGACCUUCUGUUUGACGGGUCGCGCAUGAGGACAGACAGCAAGAUGGUGCUCAAUCACCUCCCUGGGAACGCCGGGGAUGUCGGAUGCUUGCCAUGAAAACACAUCAACAUUCACCCGCAGGAAGGUGACGAGCGUGCCUUCCUAUUUGCAGUCAAGGGAGGAGCUUAUGGUGAAAGCCCCUCCCGUGCCAUCCUCCUUGACGGACACCUUCUUGGUCUCUGGUGGUGCAGCUCUGGAUUUCUUGCUCUUGCCGGUGGAGCUCUCUGGCACGUCCUCAAUGGGAGCACAGCACUCCGAAGAGGUGUGAUGUCUACUACGCAACCUUCUUCUUGUAGACGUUGUUGGGCCUCCAAUGCAGAGGUUUGUAGGACAGUAGCAAAUUUCCCUCAAGUGGAUGACCUAAGGUUUAUCAAUCCGUGGGAGGCGUAGGAUGAAGAUGGUCUCUCUCAAACAACCCUGCAACCAAAUAACAAAGAGUCUCUUGUGUCCCCAACACAUCCAAUACAAUGGUAAAUUGUAUAGGUGCACUAGUUCGGUGAAGAGAUGGUGAUACAAGUGCAAUAUAGAUGAUAGAUAUAGGUUUUUGUAAUCUGAAAAUAUAAAAACAGCAAGGUAACUAAUGAUAAAAGUGAGCACAAACGAUAUUGCAAUGCUAGGAAACAAGGCCUAGGGUUCAUACUUUCACUAGUGCAAGUUCUCUCAACAAUAAUAACAUAAUUGGAUCAUAUAAGUAUCCCUCAACAUGCAACGAAGAGUCACUCCAAAGUCACUAAUAGCGGAGAACAAACGAAGAGAUUAUGGUAGGGUACGAAACCACCUCAAAGUUAUCCUUUCUGAUCGAUCUAUUCAAGAGUCCGUGGUAAAAUAACAUGAAGCUAUUAUUUCCGUUCGAUCUAUCAUAGAGUUCGUACUAGAAUAACACCUUAAGACACAAAUCAACCAAAACCCUAAUGUCACCUAGAUACUCCAAUGUCACCUCAAGUAUCCGUGGGUAUGAUUAUACAAUAUGCAUCACACAAUCUCAAAUUCAUCUAUUCAAACCAACACAAAGUACUUCAAAGAGUGCCCCAAAGUUUCUACCGGAGAGUCAAGACGAAAACGUGUGCCAACCCCUAUGCAUAAGUUCACGAGGUCAUGGAACCUGCAAGUUGAUCACCAAAACGUACAUCAAGUAGACCAUGUGAUAUCCCAUUGUCACCACAGAUAAGCACAUGCAAGACAUACAUCAAGUGUUCUCAAAUCCAUAAAGACUCAAUCCGAUAGAUAACUUCAAAGGGAAAACUCAAUCCAUUACAAGAGAGUAGAGGGGGAGAAACAUCAUAAGAUCCAACUAUAAUAGCAAAGCUCGCGAUACAUCAAGAUCAUACCACCUCAAGAACACGAGAGAGAGACAUCAAACACAUAGCUACUGGUACAUACACUCAGCCCCGAGGGUGAACUACUCCCUCCUCGUCAUGGAGAGCGCCGGGAUGAUGAAGAUGGCCACCGGUGAGGGAUCCCCCCUCCGGCAGGGUGCCGGAACAGGGUCCCGAUUGGUUUUUGGUGGCUACAGAGGCUUGCGGUGGCGGAACUCCUGAUGUAUUCUGUUCUCCAAUGUUUUUAGGGUAUAUGGAUAUAUAUAUAUAGCCGAAAGAAGUCGGUCAGGGGAGCCACAAGGGGCCCACGAGGGUGGGGGCGCGCCUCCCUGCCUCGUGGCCACCUUGAUGCUUCCCUGACGUCUACUCCAAGUCUUCUGGAUUGCUUCCGUUCCAAAAAUAACUCUCCCGAAGGUUUCAUUCCGUUUGGACUCCAUUUGAUAUUCCUUUUCUUCGAAACACUGAAAUAGGCAAGAAAACAGCAAUUUGGGCUAGGCCUCCGGUUAAUAGGUUAGUCCCAAAAAUAAUAUAAAAGUGUAUAAUAAAGCCCAUAAACAUCCAAAACAGAUAAUAUAAUAGCAUGGAACAAUCAAAAAUUAUAGAUACGUUGGAGACGUAUCAAGGUGCGCUUGUCGGAGUGGGUGCGAGAGGUCUUGCCGGUCUUCUUCCCUCCCGGGGCUUCGGUGGCAGGAGCAAGUGCCUUGGCGGCAGUUGCUGCAACUGCCUCCCGGUAGAGUUGGUCAGCGCAGAUCAGCGCAUCCUUCUUGUCGGAGGGGACGGUGAUGAUGGUCAUCGGCCCAGGCAUCUUCAGCAUGUUGUAGGCGUAAUGUGAGGCCGCCAUGAACUUGGCUAGUGCUGGGCGGCCGAGGAUCCCAUUGUAGGGCAAGGAGAUCUCGGCUACAUCGAAAAUAAUCAUCUCUGUCAUGUAGUUCAACUCGCCUCCAAACGUCACGGGCAGCGUGACCUUACCCUUCGGCUGACUCCUUCCCGGGUUGACCCCUUGAAAUGUGCCCGUCUCUUCGAGGUCUUCAUCAGGAAUCUGCAGCCUUUUGAUCACAACAGGCGAGAUCAAGUUCAGACCGGCCCCGGCAUCAACCAGCAUUUUCGUCACCUUGAGGUUGCGUAUUGUUGGUGAAACCAACAGCGGCAAACACCCGACCGCAGUUGUGCGAUCAGGGUGGUCCUCGGUGUAAAAAUGAUAGGCGUGCUGGACCACUUCAGUGGCGUUUGAGCAUCGAACGAGGGUUCUGCUACUGUGAUCUCACGCGCGCACUGCUUGAGCUGGCGGUGAGAGGUGUGCAGCGAGGCGCCACCGUCGACGCACAUGGCCUCUGUAGCUUUCUGGAACUCAUGCUCGCCGUACUCGUCGUCCUCGUCAUGAUCAUCGUCUUCUUGCUUCUUGUCGCGGCCCCGAGCAGGCCUCUCUUGCUGAUCCUUGCCGCGGCGACCUCCUUGGCCGCCACGCUUCUUGCCGGAUCCCUCGGCACCAUCCCGACCCUUCUCCUUGUCCCGCCUCUCAUACUCAGCUUUUUGCUUCUCAGCAAGCAGCUCAACUUGCCGGCAAUUCUGGAGGUCGUGGCCCUUGGUGCGGUGGAUCUUGUAGUACUGCUUGUCGGAGCCUCCUUGCUUGUCGGCAGCCGCCAAGGCCCGGCAAGCGGCGCACCCGGCAGUUUCCUUGCCGGGGUCGUCUGCCUUGGCCUUCUUGGCAGCGCCGGUGUCCUCGGAUCCCUCGACGACAAGCACGGUCUUGCCCUUGCGCUUCCUGUUGCAGCGCCGACCCUUCUUCGUCGGGGCGGCUGUGUCUUCGUCUGUGGAGUCGGUUUCCGCACCGGCGUCCUCGCCGGGGUACUUCCUCCCCUCUUCAGCUCGAGCGCACCUAUCGGCCAGAACAUAAAGUUCGGCCACAUCUUUGACCUUAUUCAUCGCCAGCUCUUCACGCAUCUUGCGGUUGCGCACAUUCUGAUGGAAUGCGCUGAUCACGGCGGCGGGAUGAACAUCUGGGAUGUUGUACUGCACCCGGCUGAACCUCUGUAUGUACUUGCGCAGGGUUUCACCUUCCUUCUGGGGGGUGAUAUGCAAAUCGCUUACCUGGCCAUGAGCUUGGUGGCCUCCAGUGAAGGCGCCAACGAACUCAUGACACAAAUCCGACCAAGAAGAAAUGGAAUCCGCCGGCAAGUGCAUCAACCAUGACAUGACAUUGGGUUUAAGUGCCAACGGGAAGUAAUUGGCAAGCACCUUGUCGUCGCGAGCUCCAGCAGCUUGCAUCGUGAUGGUGUAGAUGCUGAGGAACUCCGACGAGUGGGUCUUGCCGUUGUACUUCUCGCCAACGUCGGGCUUGAACGUGCGGUGGUAGGGCCACUGGAACUGUCACAGCUCACGGGUAAAGGCUGGGCAACCCACCUCGUAGGGUAGGCCGCCAGAGCCUCCCGGUGCUGGGUGGUCCAUAGUGGGCCUCGCCCGCCUAUCUGACUGGUGGGGUGCUUCACGCCGGCGCUCGAUGGUGGUUCGAGCGUCUUCAUGGGCUCGCUCUCGAAGAACUUGGCGCUGAUCGCGGUGGGUCCGUGGGUCGGACGAUGCUAUGGAAAUGUUAUCACAAGCGUCAUCACGACGGAUCGACACCCACAGUGGCUGGUCUGGGGGAGGAGAGUGCAUCAUGGCCGCAGAACCUCCGGUCCUUCCACCACCGGCAUGCGGUGGCUCGACGGAGCGCCGUCCCGAGGGCCCCGCUGGUCGUGGCUCAUCUUUGUUGGCAACGGCGACGAGGCUCCGGAUGGUGGCUCUCCACUCGUCGAGAUUUUCCGCAGCAGGAGGAAAGUCGAGGAGCAACUGCGCACGCACCAAAGCUUCUGCUGGCGUGGGUGGCGGCGAAAGCUGCGUGGACCAUGACGCUCUCCGACUUCUAACCAUGUUAGAAGGAGCUCUAUCACGGCCUUGCGGCUGUGCGCCAUUUUCGCCCGUGCCUCGGCGUGCUUGUUGGCCUUCUACGUCCUGCGAAUGAGGCACAUGACUCUUCCCACGGCGGCGCCCGGGCUCACCAGCGUGGUGACGCUGCUCGUCACGCACAACCUGGGAAGAGCGCGUCGUGGGCGCCGGCGUAGGCAUCUUGGAAGUCACCGCGCCGCCCAUGGGCGGCACGACGCGGCCCUUGGAGGGCCCCGCGCCGCCUGCGGGGGGCCCGGCUCCGUCUUUGCAUUUGGCGGCGUGCGGCCCGUCGUCUCGCACACGAACGACGCCGCUCGCCAGGCUUUGACUGCCAGAGCAAUGUGGGUGUUCGCGGGCCACGCCUCGGCUUCCAUCCGUGACCGCCCCACCACUCGCCCGCACUGGUACGGGUCGUUCGGCUCCCGAUGAACUGAUCGCCAUGAUCGUCUUCUUCUUGGGAGCCAUGGCGAUGAAGAACUGCUAAACUAACUGCUAGACCGGAUUUUCACAACCGCGCCCCCUACCUAGUGCGCCAAAGAUGUCGGUGGAAAACGACAACUAUGGGAUCACUGGAAUCCCUUCUACAGUUGGCGGGCGCGGGGUUGUGCAAAGAGCUGGUCUAGAAGCCAGCACAAAGAUCAUUUACCCAGGUUCGGGCUGCGAGGAUGUGUAAUACCCUAGUCCUGCUUUGGUGUAUAUUUGAGUGUUCUUGAGCUCUCGAACUAGCUGUGGUGCGUGCGUAGUCCAAAAGAUCCGAAUCCUUCUCCCGUACGCCUCGGGCCUCCUUUUAUAGUCAAAAGGGGUUGCCAAAGUGACACACAGGAGGUGGAAAGGUAUACAGUGGUUAAGUCUAUCCUCUGGCACCAUUGGAAAAACGCAUUUAAUGCGCUGCCAACGUGCCCUUCUUGCUUUAUCGGGGAUGGCUGGCAGCUCGUCCCAGCUGUCGCCGCCUCGCCUGGCUCCGACGCGCGUCCGAGCUGAUGAGGCGUUGUAGUGCCACAUUGGCUGGCUGCUGGGCUGGCGCGGUGGCAGAGUCUUCACGAAGAUCUGUAUGCCACCACAUAGGUGCUUGCUGAGUUGGCCUGGAGGCCGCGCAUCGCCACGCAGGUGCCUGCCCAGCUGUUUGGGCUGGCAGCUGUAUGGGAACAUCGGUGGAGUCUUGGCAGACGUGGGCCUGGCUGUGGCCCCGCAGGUGUCCUCGGCAAGGGUCUUGCCGGGGCCCCAGCAAGGGCCUUGCCGUGGCAUCGCGGUCGUCCCCGGCAAGGAUCUUGCCGGGGGUCUCGUGGUUUCCUCGGCAAGGAUCUUGCCGAGGAUCGUCGUCUUCUGGUCCUCAUCUGAUCUUGUGUGCUUAUGAUCUUCACAAAGAUCCGCAUGCCACCAUGGAGGUGCCUCCCGAGCCUUGGUUCCAAUGAGGUUGAUGGUGUUGGAACCCUUGGGCUCAAGGGUGGCGCGCUCUGCUGGCGUUGGGCAAGUUGCUCCGGCAAGGCUCUUGCCGGGGCUGUUGAGGCCGUCCCGGCAAAGGGCUUGCCGGGGGAGUCCACCUCGCCCUUCUGCUCUUUGUGUUUCCGUCUUGGCGUUGAUCUAGUCAUCUUGUGCCUUUGCUUCUUCUGCCCCGCCAAGCGUGGUCAGGGGCGUGGGGUUGCGACUACCCGCGCACAAGUAAAGGGGUGCAAAAAAAGAACCCCUACUUUUGUACACCGACAAAGGGAAUAAUAAAUAUGGUAGAGAAAAAAUUCGAAAACCUAAGUCUCAUGACUGCCACGUGAUUGUGACGCAAUUGCUUCUGGUUGCAUUGAGGGGGCUUCUACCGGAAAAUGUUCGAUUAGCCAUUGUGAAGCUAUGUGCAUUCCUUAAUGCAAUCUCUUAGAAGGUAAUCGAUCUAGAAAUCCUACCAAGGUUACAGAAUGAUUUGGUGCAAUAUCUUGUCAGUUUCGAGUUGGUGUUCCCGCCAUCCUUCUUCAAUAUCAUGACGCACGUCCUAGUUCACCUAAUCAACGAGAUUGCCAUUCUGGGUCCUAUAUUUCUACACAAUAUGUUCCCUUUUGAGAGGUUCAUGGGAGUCUUAAAGAAAUAUGUUCAUAACUGUGCUAGGCUAGAAGGAAGCAUCUCCAAGGGCUAUGAAAUAGAGGAGGUCAUUGAGUUUUGUGUUGACUUUAUUCCUGACCUUAAGCUGGCUGGUGUUCCUGAACUGCGGCAUGAGGGCAGACUGGGUGGAAAAGGCACGCUAGGAAAGGAUCCAGUAAUAUGUAUAGACGGGCAUUCUUGAGCUCAAGCACAUUCCACCUUGGUGGCUCCGUAUAUCGAGGAACACAUGGAUAUUCUAUGCUCCAAGAACCCGGAGCAGUCUGUGCCCUGGAUCAAAUGUACACACAUGGCGUCAUUCGGCGGUUUGUUGCAAACAUGUCUCAUGCAUGACGACACUGUUGGAGAUGAGUUGUACUUGCUGGCAAAGUCACCAUCUUCGACUAUAUUGACUUUCAAAGGGUAAAAGAUAAAUGGGAAUACAUUUUACACGAUCGCCCAAGAUAAAAAGAGCACCAACCAAAACCAUGGUGUCUGCUUUGAUGCAGCAAACACCAAUAUGCCAAAGGACACAUAUUAUGGUUACACAAAGGAGAUAUGGGAACUUGACUAUGGACGUGAUUUGAAGGUUCCUUUGUUUCGGUGCAAAUGGGUCAAUCUGAUAGGAGGCGGGGUAAAGGAAGACCCGCGGUACAGAAUGACAACAGUGGAUCUCAACAAUCUUGGGUACACAGACGAACCAUUCGUCCUAGCCAAUGAUGUGGCGCAGGUUUUGUAUGUGAAGGACAUGUCUACCAAGCCGAGAUAAAGAAAAGAUAAGGAAGCGAAUACAUCAUACGAUGAGCCAAAGCGCCACAUAGUUCUUUCAGGGAAAAGAAACAUCGUGGGAGUGGAGGACAAGACAGACAUGUCAGAAGAUUAUGAAAAGUUUCAUGAAAUUGCUCCCUUCACAGUGAAGACUGACCUAAGCAUCCUGUUAAAUGAUGAAGAUUGUCCAUGGAUACGGCGCAAAGGGACACACGCAUAGAAAAAGUUUUAUACCCCAAGAUCCCACUCUGGGAUGUGACCAACUUCACCAUCAUCACUUUCUUCUCUAGUGAGUUUCCGUACUUGUCUGGAAAGUCCCACUUUGGACAAACCGGAGGGAAUCUUUGUAAUAGUUGGGGUAUAUAUGUGUUUUGGCAUUUGAAACGCGAAGAAACAUUAUGUAGGAGUUUUUUUUACUAUGAACAUUAUGUAGGAGUUAAUCAAUCCAAUUAUGUCCAAAGAAGAUAUUUCACUACGUAUUUUGCAAGGUUGAUCAUACGCGGUUAGCCACGUCAUCAAUUUUCAACCCUUUCUGACUUUAUUUGCUAUUUUUUGAGCUAAAUGACCCUGAAAUUGAAAAGCACUACAAAUGAAUUCUGAAAAGGUUGAAACUUGGCAUGGUAUCACCAUUUCACCCACAUAGCAUGUGCUAAAAAGUUGAGAGGGUUGCGGCAAAAACUGGAUGAACUUCGUGUAAAAAAUGGACAAUCUCUUUCGAAGUAUCAGGGUUUCAGAUGAAAACUCAUCUGUUACAAAGGCAUGUCAUUUUCCUAAACUUAUUUUAACUCCAGACUUUUUGUGCAUUCAAUAUGCACCAUUCAAAGCCACGUCAUCAAUUUUCAACCCUUUCUGACUUCAUUUGCUAUUUUUCAUGAAUUUAUUGAUUUUUUUGAGCUAUAAACCUAAAAGAGCUAAACAGAAUCUGUUUUUGAUUAAAACACCUAUUUAAAAUAACCUAAAAUUUACCAAAUUGAACAUACUGAUAAAACACACUAAUAUUAAAUAGCAGGAAGAAGAAUCACUCAAAAAUCUAUGUUUAAAGUAAAGUUAUUCACAAACUAGUGAUUCACACAAAUUUCAAAGAAUUGAAAUUUAAACUAUUCAAAUUUGUGAACUACUGGCACUAGCAGAAAGUUUAUAAUUUUUGUGACCUAAAGCAAAAAUAUACACUCAAAAACUCUAAAUAUUUGGCUGUAAGUAGAAACAAAAGCAAAAAAAGCUGGAAAAAGACUUUAGUCCCGGUUGCCACCACCAGCCGGGACUAAAGGGCCCCCUCCCGCGCUGAAUUUGGGCCGCCCCAAAACAGCCCUUUAGUCCCGGCCCGUGGCUGAAACCGGGACUAAAGGUUGUACCUUUAGUCCAGGUUCCAGCCACGCACCAGGACUAAAGGUCCUUUAGUCCCGGUGCGUAGUCCCGGUGCGUGGCUGGAACCGGGACUAAAGGUCCAUUCUAUAUAACCUGACACUUAGCAUUUUCAGCCUUGAUACGUCUCCAAUGUAUCUAUAAUUUUUGCUUGUUCCAUGCUGUUAUAUUAUCAUUCUUGGAUGUUUUACAAUAAUUUUAUAGCAACUUUAUAUCAUUUUUUGGUACUAACCUAUUGGCAUAGUGCCCAGUGCCAGUUGCAGUUUUUUUGCUUGUUUUUUAUUUCACAGAAUAACAGUACCAAACGCAGCGAAACUUUUUGGUGAUUUUGUUUGGACCAAAAGACAUCCAGUGGGCCAAAGAAGUACUAGAGGGGAGGCCCGAGGUGAGCACAAGACACCUGGGCGCGCCAGGAGGCCCAUGCGUGCCCAGGUGGGUUGUGCCCCACCUCGGUGACCUCCCGCACCGCCUCUUCGCCCUAUAAAUACCCCCAAUAUUCCAGGAACCCUAGGUAAGUCGACAAAACACAAUUCCAGCUGCCGCAAGUUCCAGAACCACGAGAUUCAAUCUAGACACCAUCACGAAGGGGUUCAUCAUCCUCAUUGGUGCCUUUCCGAUGAUGCGUGAGUAGUUCACUGUAGACCUACGGGUCCGUAGGCAGUAGCUAGAUGGGUUCCUCUCUCUUUUUCAUUCUCAAUACAAUGGUCUCUUGGAGAUCUAUUUUAUGUAACUCUUUUUUGCGGUGUGUUUGUUGGGAUCCGAUGAAGUUUGAGUUUAUGAUCAGAUCUAUAUCCAUGAAAGUUAUUUGAGUUUUCUUUGAUCUCUUAUAUGCAUGAUUACUUAUAGCCUCGUAUUUAUUCUUCGAAUCUUUGGUUUAGUUAGGCCAACUAGAUCGAUUUUUAUUGCCAUGGGAAGAUGUGCUUUGUGAUGGGUUCGGUCGUGCGGUGUUCUUUCCCAGUGACAGAAGGGACAGCAAGACACACAUGUAUCGUUGCUAUUAAGGAUAACAAGAUGGGGGCUAUUCCUACAUGAAUAGAUCUCGUCUACAUCAUGUCAUCGUUCUUAUUUCAUUACUCUGUUUCUCCAUGAACUUAAUACACUAGAUGCAUACUGGAUAGCGGUCGAUGUGUGGAGUAAUAGUAGUAGAUGCAGGCAGGAGUCGGUCUAGUAAUCUUGGACGUGAUGCCUAUAUAAUGAUCAUUGCCUGGAUGUCAUAAUUAUUCGACCUUCUAUCAAUUGCCCAGCAGUAAUUUGUUUACCCACCAUGUGCUAUUUUCUCGAGAGAAGCCACUAGUGAAAUCUACGGCCCCCAGGUCUAUUCUUUAUCAUAUUUGCUUUGAGAUCUAUUUUUAUUUUCUUUUAUUUUCAGAUAUAUUAUUCCAAAAACCCAAAAAUACCUUGCUGCAUUUUUUUAUUACUUAUUCUAUUUCACGUUUUAUUGAGAGCUAUUUAUCCAAUCUACCAUAAAUUUAUCUAUCUUUUUCCGUGGAGGGAUUGACAACUACUCUUACGCGUCGGGUUGCAAGUAUUUGUUCUUUGUGUGCAGGUACCGUUUACAUAGUGUUGCUUGGUUCUCCUACUGGAUUGAUACCUUGGUUUCAUAACUGAGGGAAAUACCUACCAUAGCUGUGCUGCAUCAUCCCUUCCUCUCUGGGGAAAUACCGACGUAGUUCAGGCGGCAUCAAAAGGAAUUUCUGGCGCCGUUGCCGGGGAGACAUCAUCAACAUCUAUCAGGUUCCUAAUCACAAAUCUCAUCUCCUUGCAAUUUAAAUUAUUUGCCAUUUGCCUCCCGUUUUCAUCUCCCCCACAUCACAAAAAUUUGUCGUUUUAUUCGCCUUGUUUUUCUUUCGCCGUUUUGUCGUCAGAUCUAUCUUUUUGUUUGCAAUCUUGUUUGCGUUGUCACGAUGUCUCAAGUAAACACCAAGUUGUGUGAUUUUCCCAAUACCAAUAAUAAUGAUUUUAUUAGUACUCUGAUUGCUCCUCCCGCCAUUAGUGUGAAAUCUUGUGAUAUUAAUGCCGCUUUGUUGAAUCUUCUUGCGAAAGAUCAAUUUUUCGGUACUCCUAAUGAGGAUGACGCGUCCCAUCUAAACACAUUCAUAGAAUUGUGUGAUAUGCAAAAGAAAAAAGAUAUGGACAAUGAUAUUGUGAAGUUGAAAUUAUUUCCUUUCUCUUUAAGGGAUCGUGCAAAAAUUUGGUUUUCUUCUUUGCCUCACAAUUGUAUCGAUUCUUGGGAUAAGUGCAAAGAUGCAUGUAUUACUAGUAUUUUCCGCCCACGGAAAAUAUUUCCCUUAGAACUCAAAUCAUGAAUUUUAAGCAACUUGAGCAUGAACAUGUUGCACAAUCUUGGGAAAGAAUGAAAUUGAUGAUAAGAAAUUGUCCUACUCAUGGUUUAAAUCUUUGGAUGAUCAUACAAAAAAUUUAGGGUUAAUUGGAUAAAUGUCACUCCAAUUUUGGCCAUUCCGAAAAAUACCACUCCAAUUUGCAAACUUCAGAAAAUGUCACUCCAAUUCUCGCAUACUUCUGUCGAUGCCACUCCAGCCACUUGAGCUUGUUUUUGUACAAAAACACUCACGUAUACGUUCUGUACUUUCUCUUGGAUAGAAAUGCCCCUACAUCCAUCUGGUUAGCACGCACCGUGCCUAUCUUCUUCCUCCUGUUCAUUGUUCCUCUCCUCGUUCCCCUCCUCUCUCGCCAAGAACCCUAGCUGCCACCGUGCUGCUCCUCCACAUCCCCAGCCUUCGCCCUGCUACUCCACACCAUCACCCCCCUGUUGUUGCUCCACAUCCCGUCCCGCCACCCUGUUGCUUCCCAUCGCCGAGCAGGAGUCUCAGCCAGCGCGCCGCGCCCCAAGCGCCUUUCCACUCUGGCCCCAUUCCCCCUGCCCCCCUUCACUAUCUCCCAUGUCCUUCCGCCGAAGCUCGCCGCCAGCCUCUUCUGUCCUCACUCCCCCUUGCCCCAGCUUCCUCUGCUCCAUCUUCCAUGGCAAGGAGAGUUGUCGGGGCCAUUGGAGGUGGAGGAUGGAGCUCGUCUGUCGUUAUUUAGAUGAUCUAAAGAGCAAGGAGAUGGAGAAGAUCGCAGGUCGCCUUGCUGAAUCUAAGAGGAAGAAAAAUGAUGCAGGUGGCUUGUUUUUGGAUGAACUAAAGAUUGUUGAAAUGAACUUUGCACAAUGGCAGAUGGAAGAACUAAAGAUUGAGAAUGCAAAAAUAUGUGCCAUUUGUAUGAAUUACUGGUGGUUGUACUGAAAAAGAUGUAACUAGUGGCCGUACAGAGAAAUGAGUAAUGAAGAAUGUGUUAUUUUCCUAUGCAGAAGAAGCAUGAAUGUAUUGUGCAGAGGAAGCAUAAAUGUACUGUCACAAUAUUUGUCCAUGAACAAAGCAUGAACUUAGUGGAAAAAAUGGACAUGACCUCUGGCAAAAUACAUAUAAUUUUGCAUCAGAUGACAAGUCAUAAUAUUUUGCAUCAAUAAAAGAUGAAACAAAAUAGUCUUAAAGCUCCUAUUUGAGCAUCCCACACACAAGCUCUAGUUUGAGCCUCACACACAAGUUCAAGCUCCAGUUUGAGCAUCACACACACACAUAGGUUGAAGCUCCAGUUUGAGCAUCACACACACAUACAUGGUCCAGUUCAAGCAAAUUCGACCCCCAAGCCAAUAAAGCAGAUUUUUCUUGGUUCCUAGAGUUGGCUUUAGAACAGCAUCACUAGUAGAUGGUGUAACGAACUGCAGUUUUUGCUCUUCUUCCCUGUAGUUUUGUCCUUUCCGGUACCUUCACUUUGCUUGCCUUUCCCCUUGACCGGAGUUCUUCUUGACCGACGUCUUCUUCUUCUUAACCCGUGUCUUCUUCUUAACCGGCGUCUUUUUCUUCUUGACCGGUGUCUUCUUCUUAGCCGGCGUCGUUUUCUUCUUGACCGGUGUCGUCUUCUUGACCGGCGUCGUCUUGACCAGCGUGUUCUUCAGCAUAUGUCAAAAAUAAGUAUUGUGUGUGUUCAUAAAUAUAAUUUGUGGUAAAAGAAUGAACAUAAGUUAGUAUGAUACCUUUUAUAAUUUGCGAUAGGUUCGUCAUCUUCCACAACUUCCUCCUCGGUUGCAGUAGCAUCUCUCUUUUUGCAUGAUAGAAAAAGGUGAAAUGGUUUAGCAACAUUAACCCAAUUGACAUAAUCAAAUUUAGGUAAGUACAAUGGCACCUUUUACUAGGAGUGUGCUCCAUUGGUGGUGGUUCUACAAUAACUAAAGGAGGGAGAUUGCAAGUUUUCGCAAAGUGGCCAUUUCGACCGCAUUUUUUCCAUUUGACUACUUUCCUGCCUGGGUCUUCAAGAAAUCCUCUAAUUCUUUGAACCCUAGACCUUCCAGGUGGCCUUUUCUCUUGUACAGGUGGGUAAACCAUGAAUCCAAGGUCAACUUGCUCCCAUUGUGUCCUAUCUGUCAUGGUUGGCAGUGCCCCAGCAUAAGCAGCCUUAAAUUUUGCCACACUGUAAUACUCAUCAACAAAGGACUCAAUCUUUGUGCCCCUCAUUGAACAAAUGAAAUCAAUGCAUGAAUGCAAGGCUGCCCAGAAACUUGAAAUUUCUGACAUGAGCAUGUUCUCUGUUUUAGAUCAACCGUGUGCCUCUGGUCAUAUGCUUUCUCAUCAUAUAGUGUAAUCUCUGCCUCAUGUUCUGUAUUCCACGCCACUUUAUGGGGCCCAAUUGUUUUACUGAGUGCAUUGAGCCUCUUGAGAACCUCGGGAAAAAUUAUGUCGGCCAAAUGCCUACCAACAUGCCUCCUCACAUUGAACUUCACCAUUAUUAGCUCUCUAAUCCUAUCCAGUAGCUCACACAAAUUUAACCCUUUCAAAUCUUUGAUUUGCUUGUUGAAACUUUCAGAAAUAUUGUUAGUGAGAUAAUCAACCUUGCUAUCCACACCAAAGGCGCACCUAUACCAAAUCCUAUUAUGGUGUUUCUCAAGGUACUCAAUAGCACUUGGAUCUGCCUCAAAUAUCUUCUGCAUAUGCCAUCUAAAUUUGUGCACUUUUCUACGUCUACGGUCUAUAUCAGAGUCCUUCCCUUCACAUAAUUCUGUUGCAAAUAUGCCCUAGAGGCAAUAAUAAAUGGUUAUUAUUAUAUUUCUUUGUUCAUGGUAAUUGUCUAUUAUUCAUGCUAUAAUUGUAUUGUCCGGAAACCGUAAUACAUGUGUGAAUACAUAGACCACAACCUGUCCCUAGUAAGCCUCUAGUUGACUAGCUCGUUGAUCAACAGAUAGUCAUGGUUUCCUGACUAUGGACAUUGGAUGUCAUUGAUAACGGGAUCACAUCAUUAGGAGAAUGAUGUGAUGGACAAGACCCAAUCCUAAGCAUAGCAUAAAAGAUCGUGUAGUUUCGUUUGCUAGAGCUUUUCCAAUGUCAAGUAUCUUUUCCUUAGACCAUGAGAUCGUGCAACUCCCGGAUACCGUAGGAGUGCUUUGGGUGUGCCAAACGUCACAACGUAACUGGGUGACUAUAAAGGUGCACUACGGGUAUCUCCGAAAGUGUCUGUUGGGUUGGCACGGAUCGAGACUGGGAUUUGUCACUCCGUGUGACGGAGAGGUAUCUCUGGGCCCACUCGGUAAUGCAUCAUCAUAAUGAGCUCAAUAUGACUAAGGCGUUAGUCACGGGAUCAUGCAUUGCGGUACGAGUAAAGAGACUUGCCGGUAACGAGAUUGAACAAGGUAUUGGGAUACCGACGAUCGAAUCUCGGGCAAGUAACAUACCGAUUGACAAAGGGAAUUGCAUACGGAUUGAUUGAAUCCUCGACACCGUGGUUCAUCCGAUGAUAUCAUCGUGGAACAUGUGGGAGCCAACAUGGGUAUCCAGAUCCCGCUGUUGGUUAUUGACCGGAGAGGCGUCUCGGUCAUGUCUGCAUGUCUCCCGAACCCGUAGGGUCUACACACUUAAGGUCCGGUGACGCUAGGGUUGUAGAGAUAUUGUUGGGAAUCGUAGCAUAAUUUAAAAUUUUCCUACGCUCACCAAGAUGCAUCUAUGGAGUCUACUAGCAACGAGGGGAAAGGAGUGGAUCUACAUACCCUUGUAGAUCGCGAGCGGAAGCGUUCCAAUGAACGUGGAUGACGGAGUCGUACUCGCCGUGAUCCAAAUCACCGAUGACCGAGUGCCGAACGGACGGCACCUCCGCGUUCAACACACGUACGGUGCAGCGACGUCUCCUCCUUCUUGAUCCAGCAAGGGGGAAGGAGAGGUUGAUGGAGAUCCAACAGCACGACGGCGUGGUGGUGGAUGUAGCGGGUCUCCGGCAGGGCUUCGCCGAGCUUCUGCGAGAGAGAGAGAGAGGUGUUGCAGGGGAGGAGGGAGGCGCCCAAGGCUUAGAUUUUGCUGCCCUCCCUUCCCCCCACUAUAUAUAGGGCCAAGGGAGAGGGGGGGCGCAGCCUUGCCCCUUCCUUCAAGGAAGGGUGCGGCCAGGGGGGAGUCCUUCCCCCCCAAGGCACCUCGGAGGUGCCUUCCCCCUUUAGGACUCUCCCUUCUUUCUUAUCUCUUGCGCAUGGGCCUCUUGGGGCUGGUGCCCUUGGCCCAUAUAGGCCAAGGCGCACCCCUUACAGCCCAUGUGGCCCCCCGGGGCUGGUGGACCCCUUUGGUGGACCCCCGGACCCCUUUUGGCACUCCCGGUACAAUACCGAUAAAGCGCGAAACUUUUCCGGCGACCAAAAUAAGACUUCCCAUAUAUAAAUCUUUACCUCCGGACCAUUCCGGAACCUCUCGUGACGUCCGGGAUCUCAUCCGGGACUCCGAACAACUUUCGGGUUUCCGCAUACAUAUAUCUCUACAACCCUAGCGUCACCGGACCUUAAGUGUGUAGACCCUACGGGUUCGGGAGACAUGCAGACAUGACCGAGACGCCUCUCCGGUCAAUAACCAACAGCGGGAUCUGGAUACCCAUGUUGGCUCCCACAUGUUCCACGAUGAUAUCAUCGGAUGAACCACGGUGUCGAGGAUUCAAUCAAUCCGUAUGCAAUUCCCUUUGUCAAUCGGUAUGUUACUUGCCCGAGAUUCGAUCGUCGGUAUCCCAAUACCUAGUUCAAUCUCGUUACCGGCAAGUCUCUUUACUCGUACCGCAAUGCAUGAUCCUGUGACUAACGCCUUAGUCACAUUGAGCUCAUUAUGAUGAUGCAUUACCGAGUGGGCCCAGAGAUACCUCUCCGUUUACACGGAGUGACAAAUCCCAGUCUCGAUCCGUGCCAACCCAACAGACACUUUCGGAGAUACCCGUAAUGCACCUUUAUAGUCACCCAGUUACGUUGUGACGUUUGGCACACCCAAAGCACUCAUACGGUAUCCGGGAGUUGCACGAUCUCAUGGUCUAAGGAAAAGAUACUUGACAUUGGAAAAGCUCUAGCAAACGAAACUACACGAUCUUUUAUGCUAUGCUUAAGUUGGGUCUUGUCCAUCACAUCAUUCUCCUAAUGAUGUGAUCCCGUUAUCAAUGACAUCCAAUGUCCAUAGUCAGGAAACCAUGACUAUCUGUUGAUCAACGAGCUAGUCAACUAGAGGCUUACUAGGGACAGGUUGUGGUCUAUGUAUUCACACAUGUAUUAUGAUUUCCGGACAAUACAAUUAUAGCACGAAUAAUAGACUAUUAUCAUGAACACAGAAAUAUAAUAAUAACCAUUUAUUAUUGCCUCUAGGGCAUAUUUCCAACAAUUGCCCUUGCGAAGGAGCCCAGGUUUCACAGGAAGACCAGGCAUAUCAAGCGUCGCUUCAACUCCAUUCGUGAAAGUGUUCAAAAUGGAGACAUAGAUAUUUGUAAAGUACAUACGGACCUGAAUGUAGCAGAUCCGUUGACUAAACCUCUCCCUAGGGCAAAACAUGAUCAACACCAGGACGCAAUGGGUGUUCGAUUCAUCACAAUGUAACUAGAUUAUUGACUCUAGUGCAAGUGGGAGACUGUUGGAAAUAUGCCCUAGAGGCAAUAAUAAAUGGUUAUUAUUAUAUUUCUUUGUUCAUGAUAAUCGUCUAUUGUUCAUGCUAUAAUUGUAUUGUCCGGAAAUCGUAAUACAUGUGUGAACACAUAGACCACAACGUGUCCCUAGUAAGCCUCUAGUUGACUAGCUCGUUGAUCAACAGAUAGUCAUGGUUUCCUGACUAUGGACAUUGGAUGUCAUUGAUAACGGGAUCACAUCAUUAGGAGAAUGAUGUGAUGGACAAGACCCAAUCCUAAGCAUAGCAUAAAAGAUCGUGUAGUUUCGUUUGCUAGAGCUUUUCCAGUGUCAAGUAUCUUUUCCUUAGACCAUGAGAUCGUGCAACUCCCGGAUACCGUAGGAGUGCUUUGGGUGUGCCAAACGUCACAACGUAACUGGGUGACUAUAAAGGUGCACUACGGGUAUCUCCGAAAGUGUCUGUUGGGUUGGCACGGAUCGAGACUGGGAUUUGUCACUCCGUAUGACGGAGAGGUAUCUCUGGGCCCACUCGGUAAUGCAUCAUCAUAAUGAGCUCAAUGUGACUAAGGCGUUAGUCACGGGAUCAUGCAUUGCGGUACGAGUAAAGAGACUUGCCGGUAACGAGAUUGAACAAGGUAUUGGGAUACCGACGAUCGAAUCUCGGGCAAGUAACAUACCGAUUGACAAAGGGAAUUGCAUACGGAUUGAUUGAAUCCUCGACACCGUGGUUCAUCCGAUGAGAUCAUCGUGGAGCAUGUGGGAGCCAACAUGGGUAUCCAGAUCCCGCUGUUGGUUAUUGACCGGAGAGGCGUCUCGGUCAUGUCUGCAUGUCUCCCGAACCCGUAGGGUCUACACACUUAAGGUCCGGUAACGCUAGGGUUGUAGAGAUAUAUGUAUGCGGAAACCUGAAAGUUGUUCGGAGUCCCGGAUGAGAUCCCGGACGUCACGAGAGGUUCCGGAAUGGUCCGGAGGUGAAGAAUUAUAUAUAGGAAGUCCAGUUUCGGCCACCGGGGAAGUUUCGGGGGUUAUCGGUAUUGUACCGGGACCACCGGAAGGGUCCCGGGGGUCCAUCGGGUCGGGCCACCUGUCCCGGAGGGCCCCGUGGCUGAAAGUGGAAGGGAACCAGCCCCUAGUGGGCUGGGGCGCCCCCCUUGGGCCUCCCCCCCUGCGCCUAGGGUUGGGAACCCUAAGGGGAGGGGAGUUCCCCCUUGCCUUGGGGGGCAAGGCAACCCCUUCCCCCCUUGUGGCCGCCGCCCGCCCUUGAGAUCUCAUCUCUUGGGGCCGGCGCCCCCCCCCCAGGGGGCCUAUAUAAAGGGGGGGAGGGAGGGCAGCACAGAACAGCCUUGGGCGCCUCCCUCCUCCCCUGCAACACCUCUCUCUCUCUCGUAGAAGGUCGCGAAGCCCUGCACGAGACCCGCUACAUCCACCACCACGCCAUCGUGCUGCUGGAUCUCCAUCAACCUCUCCUUCCCCCUUGCUGGAUCAAGAAGGAGGAUACGUCGCUGCACCGUACGUGUGUUGAACGCGGAGGUGCCGUCCGUUCGGCACUCGGUCAUCGGUGAUUUGGAUCACGGCGAGUACGACUCCGUCAUCCACGUUCAUUGGAACGCUUCCGCUCGCGAUCUACAAGGGUAUGUAGAUGCACUCCCUUCCCCUCGUUGCUAGUACACUCCAUAGAUGCAUCUUGGUGAACGUAGGAAAAUUUUAAAAUUAUGCUACGAUUCCCAACAGUGGCAUCAUGAGCCAGGUCUAUGCGUAGUUACUAUGCACGAGUAGAACACAAAGCAGUUGUGGGCGUUGAGUUUGCCAAUUCUUCUUGCCGCUACUAGUCGUUUCUUGUUUCGGCGGCAUUGUAGGAUGAAGCGGCCCGGACCGACCUUACACGUACGCUUACGUGAGACUGGUUCCACCGACUGACAUGCACAAGUUGCAUAAGGUGGCUAGCGGGUGUCUGUCUCUCCUACUUUAGUCGGAACGGAUUCGAUGAAAAGGGUCCUUAUGAAGGGUAAAUAGAAAUUGGCAAAUCACGUUGUGGUCAUACGUAGGUAAGAAAACGUUCUUGCUAGAAACCUACAAACCACGUAAAAACUUGCAACAACAAUUAGAGGACGUCUAACUUGUUUUUGCAGCAAGUGCUAUGUGAUGUGAUAUGGCCAGAAGAUGUGAUGAAUGAUAUAUGUGAUGUAUGAGAUUGAUCAUAUUCUUGUAAUAGGAAUCACGACUUGCAUGUCGAUGAGUAUGACAACCGGCAGGAGCCAUAGGAGUUGUCUUUAUUAUUUUGUAUGACCUGCGUGUCAUUAAAUAAAUGCCAUGUAAAUUACUUUACUUUAUUGCUAAAAGCGUUAGCCAUAGAAGUAGAAGUAAUCGUUGGCGUGACGACUUCUUGAAGACACAAUGAUGGAGAUCAUGAUGAUGGAGAUCAUGGUGUCAUGCCGGUGACAAAGAUGAUCAUGGUGCCCUGAAGAUGGAGAUCAAAGGAGCAUGAUGAUAUUGGCCAUAUCAUGUCACUAUUUGAUUGCAUGUGAUGUUUAUCAUGUUUUUGCAUCUUAUUUGCUUAGAACAACGGUAGCAAGUAGGAUGUUCCCUUAUAAUAAUUUCAAGAAAGUGUUCACCCUAACUGUGCACCGUUGCGAAGGUUCGUUGUUUCGAAGCACCACGUGAUGAUCGGGUGUGAUAGAUUCUAACGUUCGAAUACAACGGGUGUUGACGAGCCUAGCAUGUAUAGACAUGGCCUCGGAACACACGCAAUACACUUAGGUUCACUUGACGAGCCUAGCAUGUACAGACAUGGCCUCGGAACACGGAGGACCGAAAGGUCGAGCAUGAGUCGUAUAGAAGAUACGAUCAACAUGGAGAUGUUCACCGAUCUUGACUAGUCCGUCUCACGUGAUGAUCGGACACGGCCUAGUCGAAUUCGGAUCAUGUUUCACUUAGAUGACUAGAGGGAUGUCUAUCUGAGUGGGAGUUCAUUAAAUAAUUUGAUUAUAUGAACUUAAUUAUCAUGAACUUAGUCUAAAUCUUUACACUAUGUAUUGUAGAUCAAAUGGCCCACGUUGUCCUCAAUUUCAACGCGUUCCUAGAGAAAACCAAGCUAAAAGAUGAUGGCAGCAACUAUACGGACUGGGUCCGGAACCUGAGGAUCAUCCUCAUAGCAGCCAAGAAAGAUUAUGUCCUAGAAGCACCGCUAGGUGAAGCACCAAUCCCUGAGAACCAAGACGUUAUGAACGCUUGGCAGCAGCGUGCUGAUGAUUACUCCCUCAUUCAGUGCGGCAUGCUUUACAGCUUAGAACCGGGUCUCCAAAAGCGUUUUGAGAAACAUGGAGCAUAUGAGAUGUUCGAGGAGCUGAAGCUGGUUUUUCAAGCUCAUGCCCGGGUCGAGAGAUAUGAUGUCUCCGACAAGUUCUUCAGCUGUAAAAUGGAGGAGAACAGUUCUGUUAGUGAGCACAUACUCAGAAUGUCUGGGUUGCACAACCGCUUGACUCAGCUGGGAGUUAAUCUCCCGGAUGACGCGGUCAUUGACAGAAUCCUCCAGUCGCUUCCACCAAGCUACAAGAGCUUUGUGAUGAACUACAAUAUGCAGGGGAUGGAAAAGACCAUUCCCGAGGUAUAUUCAAUGCUGAAAUCAGCUGAGGUAGAGAUCAGAAAAGAACAUCAAGUGUUGAUGGUGAAUAAAACCACUAAGUUCAAGAAGGGCAAGGGUAAGAAGAACUUCAAGAAGGACGGCAAGGGAUUUGCCGCGCCCGGUAAGCCAGUUACCGGGAAGAAGUCAAAGAAUGGACCCAAGCCCGAGACUGAGUGCUUUUAUUGCAAGGGAAGUGGUCACUGGAAGCGGAACUGCCCCAAAUAUUUAGCGGACAAGAAGAAGGCCGGCAACACCCAAGGUAUAUGUGAUAUACAAGUAAUCGAUGUGUACCUUACCAGUACUCGUAGUAGCUCCUGGGUAUUUGAUACCGGUGCGGUUGCUCAUAUUUGUAACUCAAAGCAGGAACUACGGAAUAAACGGAGACUGGCAAAGGACGAGGUGACGAUGCGCGUCGGGAAUGGUUCCAAGGUCGAUGUGAUCGCCGUUGGCACACUACCUCUGCAUCUACCCACGGGAUUAGUUUUAAACCUCAAUAAUUGUUAUUUAGUGCCAGCUUUGAGCAUGAACAUUGUAUCUGGAUCUCGUUUAAUUCGAGAUGGCUACUCAUUUAAAUCUGAGAAUAAUGGUUGUUCUAUUUAUUUGAGAGAUAUGUUUUAUGGUCAUGCCCCGCUGGUCAAUGGUUUAUUUUUUGAUGAAUCCCGAACGUGAUGUUACACAUGUUCAUAGUGUGAAUACCAAAAGAUGUAAAGUUGAUAACGAUAGUCCCACAUACUUGUGGCACUGCCGCCUUGGUCACAUUGGUGUCAAGCGCAUGAAGAAGCUCCAUGCAGAUGGACUUUUGGAGUCUCUUGAUUACGAAUCAUUUGACAGGUGCGAACCAUGCCUCAUGGGUAAGAUGACCAAGACUCCGUUCUCUGGAACAAUGGAGCGAGCAACCAACUUAUUGGAAAUCAUACAUACCGAUGUGUGUGGUCCAAUGAGUGUUGAGGCUCGCGGAGGAUAUCGUUAUGUUCUCACUCUCACUGAUGAUUUAAGUAGAUAUGGGUAUGUCUACCUAAUGAAACACAAGUCUGAAACCUUUGAAAAGUUCAAAGAAUUUCAGAGUGAGGUUGAGAAUCAACGUGACAGGAAAAUAAAAUUCUUACGAUCAGAUCGUGGUGGAGAAUAUUUAAGUCACGAAUUUGGUACACACUUAAGGAAAUGUGGAAUAGUUUCACAACUCACGCCGCCUGGAACACCUCAGAGAAAUGGUGUGUCCGAACGUCGUAAUCGCACUCUAUUGGAUAUGGUGCGAUCUAUGAUGUCUCUUACCGAUUUACCGCUCUCAUUUUGGGGUUAUGCUUUAGAGACUGCCGCAUUCACUUUAAAUAGGGCACCGUCUAAAUCCGUUGAGACGACACCGUAUGAAUUAUGGUUUGGGAAGAAACCUAAGCUGUCGUUUCUAAAAGUUUGGGGAUGCGAUGCUUAUGUCAAGAAACUUCAACCUGAAAAGCUCGAACCCAAAUCGGAAAAAUGCGUCUUCAUAGGAUACCCUAAGGAAACUAUUGGGUAUACCUUCUACCUCAGAUCCGAAGGCAAGAUCUUCGUUGCCAAGAACGGGUCCUUUCUAGAGAAGGAGUUUCUCUCGAAAGAAUUGAGUGGGAGGAAAGUGGAACUUGAUGAGGUGAUAGUCACCCCUUCCGAACUGGAAAGUAGCGCAGCGCGGGAAAAUGUUCCUGUGGUGCCUACACCGACUGGGGAGGAAGUUAAUGAUGAUGAUCAUGAAGCUUCAGAUCAAGUUGCUGAACUUCGUAGGUCCACAAGGACACGUUCCGCACCAGAGUGGUACGGCAACCCUGUCCUGGAAAUCAUGUUGUUGGACAACGGUGAACCUUCGAACUAUGAAGAAGCGAUGGCGGGCCCGGAUUCCGACAAAUGGCUAGAAGCCAUGAAAUCCGAGAUAGAAUCCAUGUAUGAAAACAAAGUAUGGACUUUGACUGACUUGCCCGAUGAGCGGCGAGCCAUAGAAAAAAAAUGGAUCUUUAAGAAGAAGACGGACGCAGAUGGUAAUGUGACCAUCUACAAAGCUCGACUUGUCGCUAAGGGUUAUCGACAAGUUCAAGGGGUUGACUACGAUGAGACUUUCUCACCCGUAGCGAAGCUGAAGUCCGUCCGAAUCAUGUUAGCAAUUGCCGCAUACUAUGCUUAUGAGAUAUGGCAGAUGGACGUCAAAACGGCAUUCCUUAAUGGCUUCCUUAAGGAAGAGUUGUAUAUGAUGCAGCCGGAAGGUUUUGUCGAUCCUAAGAAUGCUAACAAAGUAUGCAAGCUCCAACGCUCAAUCUAUGGGCUGGUGCAAGCAUCUCGGAGUUGGAACAUUCGCUUUGAUGAGAUGAUCAAAGCGUUUGGGUUUACACAGACUUAUGGAGAAGCCUGUGUUUACAAGAAAGUGAGUGGGAGCUCUGUAGCAUUUCUCAUAUUAUAUGUGGAUGACAUACUAUUGAUGGGAAAUGAUAUAGAAUUCUUGGAAAGUAUAAAGACCUAUUUGAAUAAGUGUUUUUCAAUGAAGGACCUUGGAGAAGCUGCUUAUAUAUUAGGCAUCAAAAUCUAUAGAGAUAGAUCAAGACGCCUCAUUGGUCUUUCACAGAGUACAUACCUUGACAAGAUAUUGAAGAAGUUCAGUAUGGAUCAGUCCAAGAAGGGGUUCUUGCCUGUAUUGCAAGGUGUGCAAUUGAGCACGGCUCAAUGCCCGACCACGGCAGAAGAUAUAGAACAGAUGAGUGUCAUCCCCUAUGCCUCGGCCAUAGGGUCUAUUAUGUAUGCCAUGCUGUGUACCAGACCUGAUAUAAACCUUGCCGUAAGUUUGGUAGGAAGGUACCAAAGUAAUCCCGGCAAGGAACACUGGACAGCGGUCAAGAAUAUCUUGAAGUACCUGAAGAGGACUAAGGAUAUGUUUCUCGUUUAUGGAGGUGACGAAGAGCUCGUCGUAAAGGGUUACGUCGACGCUAGCUUCGACACAGAUCUGGAUGACUCGAAGUCACAGACCGGAUACGUGUAUAUUUUGAAUAGAGGAGCAGUAAGCUGGUGCAGUUGCAAGCAAAGCGUCGUGGCGGGAUCUACAUGUGAAGCGGAGUACAUGGCAGCCUCAGAGGCAGCACAGGAAGCAGUCUGGAUGAAGGAGUUCAUUAUCGACCUAGGGGUGAUUCCCAAUACGUCGGGCCCAAUGACUCUCUUCUGUGACAACACUGGAGCUAUUGCCCUUGCGAAGGAGCCCAGGUUUCACAGGAAGACCAGGCAUAUCAAGCGUCGCUUCAACUCCAUUCGUGAAAGUGUUCAAAAUGGAGACAUAGAUAUUUGUAAAGUACAUACGGACCUGAAUGUAGCAGAUCCGUUGACUAAACCUCUCCCUAGAGCAAAACAUGAUCAACACCAGGACGCAAUGGGUGUUCGAUUCAUCACAAUGUAACUAGAUUAUUGACUCUAGUGCAAGUGGGAGACUGUUGGAAAUAUGCCCUAGAGGCAAUAAUAAAUGGUUAUUAUUAUAUUUCUUUGUUCAUGGUAAUUGUCUAUUAUUCAUGCUAUAAUUGUAUUGUCCGGAAAUCGUAAUACAUGUGUGAAUACAUAGACCACAACCUGUCCCUAGUAAGCCUCUAGUUGACUAGCUUGUUGAUCAACAGAUAGUCAUGGUUUCCUGACUAUGGACAUUGGAUGUCAUUGAUAACGGGAUCACAUCAUUAGGAGAAUGAUGUGAUGGACAAGACCCAAUCCUAAGCAUAGCAUAAAAGAUCGUGUAGUUUCGUUUGCUAGAGCUUUUCCAAUGUCAAGUAUCUUUUCCUUAGACCAUGAGAUCGUGCAACUCCCGGAUACCGUAGGAGUGCUUUGGGUGUGCCAAACGUCACAACGUAACUGGGUGACUAUAAAGGUGCACUACGGGUAUCUCCGAAAGUGUCUGUUGGGUUGGCACGGAUCGAGACUGGGAUUUGUCACUCCGUAUGACGGAGAGGUAUCUCUGGGCCCACUCGGUAAUGCAUCAUCAUAAUGAGCUCAAUGUGACUAAGGCGUUAGUCACGGGAUCAUGCAUUGCGGUACGAGUAAAGAGACUUGCCGGUAACGAGAUUGAACAAGGUAUUGGGAUACCGACGAUCGAAUCUCGGGCAAGUAACAUACCGAUUGACAAAGGGAAUUGCAUACGGAUUGAUUGAAUCCUCGACACCGUGGUUCAUCCGAUGAGAUCAUCGUGGAGCAUGUGGGAGCCAACAUGGGUAUCCAGAUCCCGCUGUUGGUUAUUGACCGGAGAGGCGUCUCGGUCAUGUCUGCAUGUCUCCCGAACCCGUAGGGUCUACACACUUAAGGUCCGGUAACGCUAGGGUUGUAGAGAUAUAUGUAUGCGGAAACCCGAAAGUUGUUCGGAGUCCCGGAUGAGAUCCCGAACGUCACGAGAGGUUCCGGAAUGGUCCGGAGGUGAAGAAUUAUAUAUAGGAAGUCCAGUUUCGGCCACCGGGAAAGUUUCGGGGGUUAUCGGUAUUGUACCGGGACCACCGGAAGGGUCCCGGGGGUCCACCGGGUGGGGCCACCUGUCCCGGAGGGCCCCGUGGGCUGAAAGUGGAAGGGAACCAGCCCCUAGUGGGCUGGGGCACCCCCCUUGGGCCUCCCCCCUGCGCCUAGGGUUGGGAACCCUAAGGGGGGGAGUUUUCCCUUGCCUUGGGGGGCAAGGCAACCCCUUCCCCCCUUGUGGCCGCCGCCCCCCCUUGAGAUCUCAUCUCUUGGGGCCGGNNNNNNNNNNNNNNNNNNNNNNNNNNNNNNNNNNNNNNNNNNNNNNNNNNNNNNNNNNNNNNNNNNNNNNNNNNNNNNNNNNNNNNNNNNNNNNNNNNNNNNNNNNGGAGGGAGGGCAGCACAGAACAGCCUUGGGCGCCUCCCUCCUCCCCUGCAACACCUCUCUCUCUCUCGUAGAAGCUCGGCGAAGCCCUGCACGAGACCCGCUACAUCCACCACCACGCCGUCGUGCUGCUGGAUCUCCAUCAACCUCUCCUUCCCCCUUGCUGGAUCAAGAAGGAGGAGACGUCGCUGCACCGUACGUGUGUUGAACGCGGAGGUGCCGUCCGUUCGGCACUCGGUCAUCGGUGAUUUGGAUCACGGCGAGUACGACUCCGUCAUCCACGUUCAUUGGAACGCUUCCGCUCGCGAUCUACAAGGGUAUGUAGAUGCACUCCCUUCCCCUCGUUGCUAGUACACUCCAUAGAUGCAUCUUGGUGAACGUAGGAAAAUUUUAAAAUUAUGCUAGGAUUCCCAACAAAUUCUUCCUACCCUCAGGACUUGUCCAGGAAAAAGCCUCCACAAAAAUUUGUAAAUUAAAAACAUUGCUGCCACUGCACCUACCAAAUCAUAUGGGUAAUCAAACAUCAACGAUUGGAGAAGAACUAAACGCACGGGCCACAAAUCAUUGGAACUUCAACAAAUUUUCUGCAAACUUACUGAGAUUUUGGGGCCGAGGAUGACAUUGCAGCGGGGGAGCUUCAAAUCUUCAGCAGAGGUGCUAGGGGAUGCGAUUCAAGUGGCCUCCAGCAUGGUUGCCGCCGCCAUGCUCGCUUGCUAGUGGGGGCGGCGCCGGCUGGAGCUCCUGCUCGCCGAUGAGAAGUAGCAGCAGGGGCGUCGCCGGGGAUGGAGCAGUAGGGGUAGCAGCACGUGGAUGUGUAGCAGCAGGGGCGCGGUCGAGGAUAUGGAGCAGCAGCAGCAGUGCGGUGGCUAGGGUUCUUGACGAAAGAGGAGCGGAAUGGGGAGAGGAACAAGAGGAAGAUAGGCACGGGCUGGAGUGGUGCGUGCUAACCAGAUGGAUGCAGGGGCAUUUCUAUCCAAGAGAAAGUACAGGAUGUAUACGUGAGUGUUUUUGUACAAAAAACGAGCUCAAGUGGCCGGAGUGGCAUCGACAGAAGUAUGCGAGAAGUGGAGUGGCAUUUUUCGAAGUUUGCAAAUUGGAGUGGCAUUUUUCGGAAUGGCCAAAAUUGGAGUGGCGUUUUUUGGAAAGGCCAAAAUUGGAGUGGCAUUUUUCCAAUUAACCCAAAAAUUUAUGCGGGAUUGAAUUUUGUUUGUAGAAAUCUUUUAGAUUCCACCGCGAGUGGUACUUUUAUGGAAAUUACUUUGGGUGAAGCUACCAAAUUGCUAGAUAAUACCAUGGCAAAUUAUUCACAAUGGCAUACCGAAAGAGCACCUACUAGUAAAAAAGUUUAUGCUCUUAUGAAAUUGGUUUCUAGUAAAAGUGCUCCUAUUGAUCUUAAUGAUGUGCCUUUGUCUACUUUGCUUGAGCAAAAUAGUGAUCUCGUAGAUGUGAAUUUUGUCUAGCGAAAUAAUUUUAAUAACAAUGCUUAUAGAGGUAACUUUAAUCCUAGGCCUUUCCUGGAAAUCCCUCUAAUAAUUAUGGCAAUUCCUAUGGUAAUUCUUCCUACAAUAAUAAUAGGAACCCCUCUAAUCUUGAUAAUAAUAUUAAAGAAUUUAUCAAUGUGCAAAAAGUUUUCAAAACUACAAUAGAAGAAAAUUUGAAUAAGAUUGAUGAUAUGUCUAGAAGCAUUGAUAGAAUUUCUCAUGAUGUAGAAAAUCUCAAGUUGACAACUUUUGCACCCAAGGUUGAUGAAUCAAUUAAAGCUUUAUAUGUUUCUAUGGAUGAAAGUAAGAAAAGAACCGCUAUGGUUAGAGCUAAAAUAGAAUUUUGAGAAAGAGCGUUUUCUAGUGAUUGCUUUCAUAAAAAUGAUGACGAUCUUAAAGUAAUUGGUGUUUCUUCUAAUUAUUCCUUGUUUAGUAAAAUUAAAAUUGAUGAUAAAGGGACCGAAGAAGAGUCAACUUUAGCUAGAAGGCGUCCCGAUAAUUUGGAGGGUGAAAAUCUUGAUGAAAAAAUUGAUAAAAGUGGGUUUGGAGAGGUCAAAACUUUAACUAGUGAUGUACCCACUCUUUUGUAUUCCAAAGACUUUAAUUAUGAUAGUUGCUCUUUGGUUGAAUAUAUUUCUUUGUUGCAAUCCAUGAUAAAUUCACCCCAUGCUUAUGAGCAAAACAAAGCUUUUACUAAACAUAUUGUUGAUGCCAUGAUGAAAGCUGAUGAAGAAAAGUUGGAAUUAAAGAUUUCAAUUCCUAGAAAAUUACAUGUUGAAUGGGAACCCACCAUUAAAGUAAAGGUAAAAAAUUAUGAGUGCUUUGCUUUAUGUGAUUUGGGUGCUAGUGUUUCCACAAUUCUGAAAUCUCUAUGUGAUGUGCUUGGUCUUACUAAUAUUGAAGAGUGUUCUUUAAAUUUGCACUUGGCGGAUUCUACUAUUAAAAAGCCUUUGGGAAGAAUUAAUGAUGUUCUUAUUCUAGUAAAUAUGAAUUAUGCGCCCAUAGAUUUUAUUGUUCUUGAUAUUGAUUGCAAUCCUCUUGUCCAAUUAUACUUGGUAGACCGUUUUUACGCGCUAUAGGCACUAUUCAAGAUAUCUCCCGAUAUUCUGAUAAAUCGGCCGAUUUAUCGCUUAUCGUUGUCUGACCGAUAAGAUAAAUCGGCUGAUAAAUCGGCGGAUAUGCCGAUAAAAUGGCCAAUUUACCCCUUAUCAUGGGUCGACCGAUAAGUUCCUGAUAAGCGAUAUCCCCAACAUUGGCUAUAGGUGCCGUGAUUGAUAUGAAAGAAGGCAAUAUUAAAUUCCAACUUCCCACUAAGAAAGGGUAUGGAACACUUCCCUAGAACAAGAAUUAGGCCACCAUAUGAAUCAAUCAUGAGGGCAACCUAUGGAUCAAAAACUAAAGAUGACAAUACUUGAAUCUAUGAAUUAUGCCUAGCUAGGGGCAUAAAAUGAUAGCGCUUACUGGUAGGCAACCCAAUAAAUAAAAAUUAUUUUUUUCUUUUUUCUUUAUGUUCUUGAGUGUUUGCACAAUUAUUCCACUGUUAUGAUUGUGUUUUUUAUGUUUUAGUUAGUGUUUGUGCCAAGCCUUUGGGAUCAUAUUGGGUGAUAGUUGAUUUGAUCUUGUUGAAAAACAGAAACUUUUGCUUCUAGUAGCAGAAUUUUGUAAAAACACAGAAGCGACGAAAAAUUCUGAAUUUUUUAUGAAAGAUUGAUAUACAAAUUUCCAACUUUGUCCUAAUUUUUCAAAAAUAUUGGAGUUACAAAAGUAUGGUUAGAGUACAGAUUACUACAGACUAUUCUAUUUUUGACAUAUUCUGUUUUCGUUGCAUUGUGUGCUUAUUUUGAUGAAUCUAUGGAUUGUAUCGGGGGGUAUAAGCCAUGGUAAAGUUGGAAUAAAGUAGGUAUAAUGCAAUAAUAAAAUAUGAAUGGGUUUGCAACAGUACUUAGAGUGGUGAUUUGCUUUAUAAUACUAACGGCUCUCAUGAAGGUUUUGUUAAGUUUUGUGUGAUUGAAGUGUUCAAGUUUUAGGUGAGAUCACGAUGGAUGAAGGAAUAAGGAUUAAGAAGAGCCUAAGCUUGGGGAUGCCCAUGGCACCCCAAGUUAAUAUUCAAGGAGAACCAAGCAGGGGCAUCCCCUCUUUCUUCUAACGACCAUCGGUAUUUUACUUGGAGCUAUAUUUUUAUUCGUCACAUAUCAUGUGUUUUGCUUGGAGCGUCCUGUAUUAUACGAGUCUUUGCUUGUUUUGCUUUCGGUUUGUCACAAGUAUCCUUGCUGGACACACCUAUUUGAUAGAGCCAAAAUUAUGCUAUGAUUUAUUAGAAUUUAUCUUUAUGCUUCACUUAAAUUUUUUGAGCUAUGGAAUUGCUCUAGUGCUUCCCUUAUAUCUUUUUGAGCACAGUGUGUUUAAUAUGUUUGAAGAAAUACUCUCAUGCUUCACUUAGAUUUAUUUGAGAGUUAGUAAUUCUAAAUAAAUUCUCUCAUGCUUCACUUAUAUUAUUUUGAGAUAUGAAAAUCUUUAUGCUCAUGUUCUUCACUUAAAUUUAUUUUGAGCUUGUCAAAAGCAAUUGCAAUAUAUGAAACUAGUCCCAAAGUGAUAAAUAUUCAAGAGGGAUAUAAUAAAAACUUUCAUGAAGAUCAUUGGACAAAUUAAACUUGAUUCCUUGUAAUAGUUUUGAGAUAUGAUGAUAGUGAUAUGUGAGUCAUGUUGGUGAGUAAUUAUGCUUUAGUAAGAAUAUUGGUGUUAAGGUUUGUGAUUCCCUAUGCAAGCACGAAAGUCAAUAGUUAUGCAAUGAAAUUACAUCCUACUUGCGGUGCAUUAUUCGGUGCCCAAUGUCAGAUCAUGUUUUCUUCAUGUUUUUGGUUUUGCAGGAAACCAAUAUCUAGGGAGGUCAAAUUACAAUGCCAAUUAAACACGGUUUUUUUCGGGCGACGAAGGACCCAUGAAGCUUCGAGAAGGAACGAGAGGAGCCAUAGGGGGCCACACGGCCAUGUGGCGCGCCCCAGGCCUAGGGUGCACCACUAGGGCAUGUGGGGCCCACCUGCACUGCCUUACAUUGAUUUCACCUCCAUAUAAUCGUAUAAGUACUGAAACAUUCCGCCAUAUUUUUAGAGACAUUUUACUACCACCAUAAGUUCCUAUUUCACACAGAUCCAAUCUGGGGGCCUGUCCAGAGCUCUGCCGGAGGAGGAAUCCAUUGCUGGAGACUUCUUCAUCAACCUUGCUACCCCCAUGACUAUGUGUGAGUAGUUCUUACUAGGACCUUGGGGUCCAUAGUAGUAGCUAGAUGACUCUCUCUUCUCUCUCUCUCUCUCUCUCUCUCUCUCUCUUUCUCUCUCUCGUUUGGAUUUUCAAUACCAUGUUCUAGUGAGCUGCCUUACAUGAUUAGGAUCAAUUUGAUGUAAUUCUUCGGUGUGUUUGUUGGAUAUGAUGAACUGUCACUUUAUGAUCAGAUUGUUCAUUGAAAUCAAUUGAAAUUUUGAGGUUUCCUUGCAUGCUCCUCGAUCUAUCUAUCUUCUCUGGCCAAGUUAGAUGGGUUUUUCUUCAGAGGGGUGGUGCAUUGUAGUGGGUUAAAUCUUGUGGUUCUCUAACCCAGUGACAAUAAGGGCCAAGACAUGUAUUGUGUUGUUGUCACUAAGGAUAGAAUGGUGGUGUCUCAUCAUAUUGUUGAUGUUCUACUGUCUACAUACUAUCUACAAAUUGAAGUGAAAUGGAAUGAACCACCAGAAGUAGUCGUAAUACCUAUCGAUGGUCGAGGACGUCGACUUGCGGCAACCAGUGGCAGGAACGUUGAGUAGGAGCCACAAGAAAGUAGAUCUAGAUCGCAGCAGAAAGGAAGAAGACCAGGGAAAGAGACUAAGCAAAAAGAAGAUACGAUAUGUGUCCAGUCUGCAACCCAAAAUAAAUGUUGGGUAACUCGGAGUACCUAGUUGGAUACGCCCACGAAUAAAAUAUAAUGCCCAGGCUAGCACGUUUCAGAAAGCAGAACACAAAAUAUUACAGUAUAAAUUUCUUCCAAAAGAACUUGAUUGAACAAACAGCGUUAACCAUAGGAGCCCAAAUGAAAUCAAAGCUUAGGGAAGUCAUUAUAGUUGGAAGAACGAAAUGUGUUAAAGAAUUACUUAUUUACCAAACUCACCAGACAGUUUCAUAAGUUCAGAUUUGGUCAUACAAGUACUGCUUUCUUGAAUGUAAAGAUAGAUUUCUCAUAGAUGAUAGCAUGCAUCGCAAGGCGGUAAAAAGUAGCGAAAAACACAAUGUAUAGUAUUCAUGGAAAAGGAUGGAAUGAACUUGGGAAAGGACAUAAGAGGAUGAACUGAUGAGUAUAAAUAAAAUAAGACUCCAUUCAUUCCCUUAUACAAGGCCACUUCAUAUUUUUAUAUCUAACUUUGACCGUUACUUUUACCAAUAGAAAUGGUAGUAUGCCACAAAAAGUAUGUUAUUGGACGCACAUUUGAAAGAACUUUGCAAUGAUAUAUUUUUUAUAACAUAUAAUCUAUAUUUUGUUGACCCAGAUUAUAAGUUAAAGUUUGACACGAAAAACGAAGUGACCUUUUAUAAGGGAAUGUAGGGAGUAAAUGAAAUAGAAGAAGAAGCAAUAGCGAAUGAAGACAAUUAGAAGGCUGAAAGGAAAACACGGCUAUAUGAAUGGACAAGCAGUAGAAGAACAUGUGAACACCGAAGAAGAUGAAUAGUACUCUCUCCAUCCAAAAAAAUUUGUCCCAAGCUUGUCCUUCAAAUGGAUGUAUCUUGCACUAACCUGGUGUUAGAUACAUUCAUCUGAGAGACAAGCUUUUUCAGACGAAAGGGGUAUGAAAUAACUGUUAAAACGGAACGGGGCGACGGAGCAUAAGAGACACGGCCAUAAAAGUACAUGUGAAGGAUAUAUUUGUACAGAAAAAUCAUGUAUAUUGUCUCGUAUUCACACAUUUAAGAAUUUCCUUCCAUUUUUCAAUGAAUUUCCGUGAAAGACACGUGCACAGAUCACAACGCACAUCAAUGGCGGCAGCCGUUUCCGCAGGUGCGGGCCCCUAUGAAUUUUCAUGGUAUUGUAUUGACUCCAAACAAAAGAUGGUUAGCCACCCGGUAACGUGUGAGAAUUGAAGUUGUGCUCAUUGACCCAAUUCAUCUAGCAUGAUUGUGUAACAGCAGUGCUAUACACACAACACAAUGCACACGAUUCAUGCACGAUACUUAAAUCCAGCCGGACAUGCACAUGAUUGAGAAGGGCACCAGCGACUGGAUUAGCACGUCUUGCAUAGAUUGGGCAGCACGGUCGUCUGGGUAGCAGUUUCGAUUGUGUAAUGAGUUUCUUAUUGAAUCAUGAGGACCCACUAUAUUGCCUUAUCCUGAUCUGCAUUUUGUGCCAACACUCAGACCACAACCGUUACACUUAUUGAAUUUUAUUUUAUUUGAAAAUAUGGUCCAAAAAAUCUGAAAUUUGGUAUGGUGUCAUAAUAUGGUUGUCGUAUUCUUUUAGCCAACUUGAGGCAACUUGUAUGCAUUAACUGACCUCGUAGGCAUUUUCAAUAUCGCCCAUAAUUAGCCCCCUAUGUGUGUAUCUCACGGUUCCAAUCGCGGCCAUGUCAUGAAGGACUAAUUUGGAAUGCAGCUGAUCAUGCUCAAAAGUCUACCAUGGUUCAUCCGUUCAUUAAUUUACAAACAGUUCACUCAAAAUAAACAUGAACACCAUGCAUGCAUACAAACACCGCACCACCACGGUUGUUGUGAUGAUCUUGGUCUCCUAAGGAGGCAAAGGAGCUCGACAAGCCGAAGACCUCCACCAGGUGCGCGCCGACAACCAUUCGGGCUGUCUUGGCCGCAGGGGCCGCCGCUAUCGCCAAGGCUGUGUAAGUCAUCAUCGCGCUCUUGCCAAGGCUGCCGCCAGGUGAGAACAAAUGAUUAUGAGGUAGCAUCUUCCUGAAAUUUUUACCAUAGAGAAGUGUUAGAGUAGAUAGCUUACAUUAUUUUAAGAUCUAUCAACACGUUAUAAUGUGUGAUGUCCUAUAGUUAUAAUAUUUCUUAAAGAAACAAUACAAAGUAAAACUUACAGUUUUCUAGCUAUAUGAUGCUUGUAUUGACUUAUAAUGUCGUAUCUAGAGGAUACAAGUAUCAUAAUUACAUAUCCGGCAUCUGCAUAACUAUAAUAUAUAUAACCAACAUAAACAUACACGCAGAAAAGAAAAUGUGAUCUCGAUAAGCCGCAACCACCUUCGGUUGUGCGGCUCACGAACGAUAUCAAAGACGACGCUAGACCUUGGGCUCGCGCUGGGGCCAAGGCGCCUGGCUAGCUGAUCACCGAGACGUAGGUUUGGUAGUUGGGCCGCGCUUGCCCUUCUCAUGCGCUCUUCUAUGCCUUGCACGCCGCCUGGGUGUUCGUCCUUGCGAGGCUGUUUUUAUAAUGACUGCUAUAAAUCCUCUUCUAUCAACACAAUAAUACAAAAGUCUAUUGUGUAUUCGCGAGAAAAAAAAAGGCACAACCACCACCGAUAAGCCACACUAGGCAGUAGCGACGACGCAAGCAUAUUUUGCCACUUGCCCUAGCCGCCCAAGUGGAUGUACGCUUUUGAACAUCGCCCGCCCAAUGAGGUUAUGAUCUAGUUCUAGAUUAAUGCAAACCCAACUGCCCAAACAAAUCGACCAAUGUAUAUCGGGAAAUCGCAUUGGAUCACUCGUUGUCAGAAGUAGUAUGCAUAUGUACUGGAAAUAAAAGGAAAUUGUACCACUUGUAGCUAGCAAGUAAUGAACUCAUGAUACAUGCAUCUAUUUUAUUUUUUUCCGGCAUCUUCUUGCGAAUCCUUGAAAUAGAUACCCAUGCAGUUCAAAAAAAAAAAGAUAGCCAUGCACUCUUUCCACGUCCCCAGGCUACAAAUACCCGUCAAAUUCCAGCACUCUUCAUCCAUCUCGAGCCAGCUACUAGCUAGCCAUGGCAUCUUCCAAGAGUAGUCUUGCAAUGUUUGCACUGGCCAUAGUCAUGGCCGUGGUGGCUGACGUCUCGGCGCAGAACACCCCGCAGGACUUCGUCAACCUGCACAACCGCGCCCGCGCCGUGGACGGCGUCGGCCCCGUGGCAUGGGACAACAACGUGGCCAGGUUUGCGCAGGACUGGGCGGCGCAGCGCGCCGGCGAUUGCCGGCUGCAGCACUCCGGCGGGCCGUUCGGCGAGAACAUCUUCUGGGGUUCCGGGCAGUCGUGGACGGCCGCCGACGCGGUGAAGCUGUGGGUGGACGAGAAGCAGAACUACCAUCUUGACAGCAACACCUGCGACGCCGGCAAGGUGUGCGGGCACUACACGCAGGUGGUGUGGCGCAAGUCGACCCGCAUCGGCUGCGCGCGCGUGGUCUGCACGGGGAACCGGGGCGUCUUCAUCACCUGCAACUACAAUCCCCCGGGCAACUUCAACGGCGAGCGCCCGUUCGCGUUCCUCACCCUUGACGCCGAAGCCUAGUACGUGCGAGUGAGUGUGAUCAUACAUGCAUACGUACGUGCGUGUGUUUAUGUUUGUGUGGUUUGAAUAUUUAUACGUCUACAAAUGUUACGUACGUACGUAAAUAAGCACACAUUCCGGCCUGCAUGUAUCCAUGCGGCUCUGUGGAGCGUGUAAAUGUAUGCAAACAUCUUUACUUUUGUUUUGUUGUUCAAAACUUGGACCUAGCCAAACAAAUUGUGAACCCUUGAAAAAAAUGAUACCCCCUUCGUCCUAUAAUGUAAGACCGCUAGUGUCAAAAAAAGGUCUUACGUUAUGGGACGGUGGGAGUAUGUUACACACAAAAUUUGAAUUUGCGUUCGAAGAUAAGAACCCGCAAUUCUUGAAAUAAGAUUUCGUCCCGUUUUAUUUAUAGAUAAAGCAAACACCACGACCAUACAGUAAAUUCAAGUGUGAAAAAUAGAAUAGCCUAUUGAGGCAACAUCACAAACUCGACGAAGGAAAAUAUAAAAUAAAUGGGAAAAAAGACCACCAAGUGGUCGUAGUCUCGGGGGGGCUGCACCGGGGCAAGUUGGCGAGCGGCACCAUGCAUCGCAUCCAUCAUAAGGCCUAGCCUAUCGCGGUCGCACUGUCUAUAAAGCGGGUGCCAGCGCUGCAAAAAUGCAAAGAAUUUGAAGAUUAAGUCAGAUGUCCUCCUAAAAAAGACACGCUCAAUCACCAUCUUAUUGUGUGCACUCCACAAAAUCCAUGCUAACGGUGCAAACACCAGCCAGAAGAGGUGCCUCAUACUGCCACCUGGUAGGCACAGGUCUGAAGGAACCCGGCAAGGUCCAGGGCCUCAUGGACAAAACUCCAAAGAACUCUAGACACUGUCCAAAAGAAGAUGAUGUGGCCCUCGUUUCCAGAACACCAAAAAGAGGACACAACCCUUCCCAAGGUCAUGCCUCUUGAUCACCUCUUCCCAGCAAUUGCCAAACACAAAUUUUGAUCUUUUCAAUGGUAAGUGCGCUUUAGAGAGCGGACUGAUUUAAGCAAUGGUCGGACGCCAGCAUAGGGCAAGAUAUGUUGAGUCGACAGAGAAGAAACCCGAAGAUGCAAGAUGCCAUGAUACGGUGUCCGGAUAGUCCGCGAGAACCGGGACCGCCGCCCGCAAACUAGCCCACUCUACGGUCUCCACCUGGCCAAAUGGCCGUCAGAACAAGACGUUUCAAUGGCCAUUGUGGGCCAGUGAAAAAAAUAACGCGCUAUAGCGCCACUAAUAGCACACUGUAGCGUUGUGAGCAAUAUCUUGCUAAAUAAAUCAGUGUGCAAUGUCUCACUAAUAGCACGCUAUAGCGCGAUAUAGUAUGCUGAUAGUGUAUUUUAAGAGCCACGCUAUUUUGUCAUAGUACACUAUUUUUUUAAUUGUUGUGUGCGGGCAUGGAACCAAAACCAUAGGGUCCGCCUGCAAACUAGCCCGCUCUAUGGUCUUCACCUGGUCAAGCUACUGCUAGUGCAUUAUGACUUCCAGCUUUCCCCAUUAUUAUUAUUUUGUACUUAAUCCUCAAUUUAUCUGGCCGGAUAGAUAGAACGUGAUUCAAUUGGUAGGCGUUAAGGCAGUAUUUGAUUCUGAGGAUAAGAAAAGUACAGGGAGAAAUUGUUUCAGAGAUAAUAAACCACGUGGACCCUCCUAAUUAUUGUUAAGCGAUAAGGUUGGGUACUUGGGUUCGAUUACGAGAAUAUGAAAAGUAUACAAAGACAACGAUGUGAGGACUUGAACAUGACUAGCACAGACAUGGCGCUCUCUUGUGCACCAGUACGACAAGACCUAGCCAGUGAAACAGCAGAAAGACACAAGUUUGUAUACGUUAAUCACUUCAAUUCAAAUUAACCAGGAAAAAUAAUGUUUGCUUGAUAGUUUGGCAUGGAUUCUUACUUGUUAGUGUGGCUUUGCUAGAGUACAAACUAUAUUGCAAACAUUAAAAUCCAUAUAUGGAGAUUGGAGUUCAUCCAGGCUGCGUAGUGUUCCCUCUCACUUCUGUUUUUCGUCGAGUUAAUUGCAGAAAACCACCGCAUUUACGGCCAGAUUUGACAAAAAUACCUAGUCCCUAAUUUUUAGGAAAAGCCGCCACAUUUGCAGUAAACUUUUUGCAAGAAGAACUGAUUGCUUGAUUUGCAGCGUUUACAACAAGCAGGGGCCAGAUUGUAAGGAGCUGAUUUGGCAAAAAUUGACAUGCACACUCCUGGAGCGAAACGAAAAAUGCAAUCAACCCCCCGCCAUGCACAUGUUUUUUAGGCGUGCAGGCCCGGGCCCCGCGCGUCGCCAUCGCCCGCUCCCGGUUGCCUGGCCCACCCUAGCCUGGUCGUCUCCCCAUGCUGGCACGGGCCACGUGACCUGGACGGCGAGCAAGAGGGCGACGGCCUACCAGUCCCCAAGCGACGCCGGCCCAAGUGGCGCAGAAGUUGGCCUUGGCCGACCAGUCCCGCGCACACGCCCAGGCCACACCCGCAGCUCGUAUAUCGCCGCGAGGUCAUACUGCGGGAGCGGCAACUGCGCCCCAUGUGGAUCUCAUGCCGUCGAGGACCAGCAGGGCCAGUGGCGUGCUGUCUGUGCGCCCUGGUGGAUCUUGUGCCGUCGAGGACCAGCGGGUGGCUUUUACAAAAAAAAUAAAGACUAGGUAUUUUUCUGCAAACCUAACCGCAAUAUGAUGGUUUUCUGCAAUCAACUCGUUUUUCGUCACAGGGAGGAGUGGCGCCACGACAUGGGUAGGGCUAUAGUGCACAACCUAGUCUGUAUUUUGCAGGGAAUAUAUUCAUUUCCUGUUCAUGUUGUUUUCCUUGGUGUAUUUUGUAUAUUAAAUGAUCUUUGAACUUUCCACACCUCACUUAAAAGCUUAUCCAUGCAACAUGUUGUUUACUGAAAGUUCGUUUUUUGUCUCGGGGGAGCUGCAUGAGGAAGGAAGAAACUCGAAUACGCUGUCAUGCACAUGAAUGAUUUGAUCCUCCAGCAGGCAGCAGCCUUCGUUGUCUUGACUCCAAGCAGAAGCUGAUUAGCCGCCGAGACGUCAAGUCUGAAUUUGAAUAACUUGUGUAUUGACCCGGCUCCUCAAUCAUAGCUGUGAAAUGACUGUUAUUGAAGCAUGAUGAUCCGAUCGGUUCAUUAGCUAGUCAGAUGUCCUUAUCCUACUUGUACGAUACUCCCUCGGUUCCAGAUUACUUGUCACAUAAAUAGAUAUAAAUAGAUGUAUGUAAAACUAAAAAUACAUCUAUAUGCAUCCAGUUCUGCGACAAGUAAUUGUAGGCGGAGGGAGUAUAUGUGAAAGUUUUGGUUGUACCACCAUGCCAGUGUAUCCUUUAUCCUCACCGUCCAUUCUUUCGUCAAAUUUAUGAAAGAAAACUUCUCUUUUUUUGUUAUAAAAUCUUCCAAAUAAAAUAACAUGUAGGGGCUGUUUGGUUACUGCCCUCAUUCGCCCUGCCAAAUCAUGGGCCGACCAAAAAAUUGGCGAGCAGAUCGCCCGCCCUGGUUUCGCCAACAAUUUGGCGUGGAAUCAGAUGGAGGGAGUGCGGGCGAGCUGGGCGUGCCAAUAAAUCGGGAGCGAUCCAAACAGAUGCCCACGCCCCAGUCAACGCUAAUAUUUUGGCUUGGCAGUUGAGGGCAGCGAUCCAAACGCCCCCCGUAAACUCGAAACUUUGCGGAUCAACAUCACACAAGUAUUACCAUGUACGGGAAAGUUUUCGGAUUUUUGGCGCAAGCUAAAUUUUUAAAAAUGAUACAAUUCACUCUAAAUUUUGAAAUUUGACAAAUUUAUGUUUGACAAAAAAUGGAAACAUUUUAUACAAUGAGAGACACUUGUAUAUAGUUGUUCUGCAAAGUUUCAAGGUCAAAUUCUCUUGUUUGGAAAAAACAAAAGAGAAACUUCUAUAUAAGGCACGUACCUUGAUGCAAACUGAAUGUUCUAGACAGAGGGUACACUACCUGAACUAAUGUCUUUUAGAUUUCUAUAUUUUACACAUCUUAGAAUUGUCAGCCUAUUUUCUUUCUCGAAUUGACAUGUUGUGUAUUAGGGCUGAUUAUUCCUUGAAAUUUUUGUUUAUACGUAGGAAUACGCCCUCAAGAAACUUCCUUUUGCCCAAAGAAAAUUUACACAUGGGUGAUUUUUUCCAUGUUUUCUUUAGAGAGGAUUCAUGUUUGGUUUGGGGCAGCGAGGCGGGGGAGUGUAGGAAUAAUAUCUCCCAACCCUUUUCCCGUUCUGUUGGCAUGCUUAUCAUCAUCAGUGCAAGGCGUGCGGAGCCGUGUCUCUAGCGGAUCUUCUGGAAUCCUAUCGAUUUAGGUUUCUCGUGGUUCCGUCUAGAUUUAGCCAGUAUUCUAGUCUACGGAGUUCCUACAUGCCCUUAUCUAGUGAAAGUAUGCUAAAGUGAACAUAUGAACCCUAGGUUUGGUUUUCGACCAUUAAAACAUCAUUUUGCACACUUUUUCAUACUUUUACUUUGUUAUUUUUAUUUAUUUUGAAAGCACAGAGACACUAAUAUCAUCCAAAUUAUUAAUCUUUUCAUCAAACUAAUGCACCUACUAUAACGAAACAUACUACACAAUAAACUUUUAUCGCUACAAUCACGACCAAGAACAUUAUGACGAUGACAUGAUGGAUCCAAUCUCACCAGCAAAAACACAAACGAAGAGGAAGAAGAUGUGGGCAAUGACUCGCUGAUUUUGAUAGCUAGGUCAUACACCUAGCCGCAAGAAUAUCUCCAUUGAUCGGGAUUCGGAGUAGAUGACCCCUCAGCGGUAUAGCUGCGUACCAAAUUCGAGGUUUGGCAGCACUUCGUUGUCCAGGAAAAGAUUGUUGAGAGGACUAGAGGGAGGAGGAGCCUAGCGGCUUAUCGGUCACACGGUGGGAAAGAGAGAUUUUGUGCAGAGGGGUGCAUCUGUCAUGACCUGUGUGUCCUUUGGGGUGCACCUUCUCUACAUUUCAUAGAUGCCAAGGGCAAACCGACUUGUGGAGGGGGGCUCCCCUAGGGACGGCACACCAAGGAGGGGGGCUCCUCCAUCCUUUUGGCUUGCCCCCCAAAACAUGGGGUGACACACCACUCUAAGGGUCCAUUAGGGCCCAGGUAGCACUACCCUUUGGGAUAGCCAAGGGGACAACCCACUAGGACCCUCUGGAAACUCCAGAACUUUCUGGUGCACUCUAUAACCUUCCGAUGCCUUCUAAAAAUCCAGGAUGCUCUCAAGAACUUCCGGGAUACUCUCGAGCUCUUCCGGGACGCUCCCGAAUCCAUCCAGAACUCUUUUAGUGCCCUUCUCUCAUACUCCUAUGUACUCCUACUUCUCUAAAAACCACUAGUCGUUAAACAUGUACAACCCUACAGGUUCGGUAAUAUGCAGACAUGACCCUGCAGGUUAAGCAUGUUCACUGUGGGAAGUUUUUUGUCUAGCUAGGUGGUCUUGUUGUACCGUAGGAACGAAUACAAUAUCUAAAAGCGGUGGCACAUGUAUUCAAGGGACAUGCCUGGCAUGUUGUGGCCGUUGGGGAGGUGGAUUGAGUAAAUUGCAUAGAAGUACCACAAUUGGGGCAUUGGAAGCAGAUUGGUACCAAGAUUGGUAAUUUUUAUGUGUCAGUACCAACUUUGGGGCGAGGCGUUGCAAAAGAGGCUAAAACAGCUGUUUAUACGUAUUGACACGGAAACUGACCGGUUGGGCCCGCCUGUCGGGUGCUGACAUGGCAUGUUUUUUGCAAAAAACUCCCUGGAAUCUCCUCUCUCUCUCCCCCGAACGCUCUCCCCCUCCUCUGUCUCGAUCUCUCACACACACCCGAACGCGGCCGUCGCCACCGACGACGAUCACCGUGGCCACCGUCCAACCUACCCCUCUCCAUACCAUCCAACGGCUCAGCCGCGACGCCCUCUUCCUCAUCGCCAAGCCACGUGACGCCGGGAGCCCCAUGCCGUCGUCCUUGCCUUCGGCUUCUUCCGCGGGAUCCGACGACAACCGCCGACGAUUCGACGCCGUCCGACCUCCCCCGAGCUCGCCAUCUGCUCCAACUGACUCGCCGUGAGCCCUUGCCUCCUCUCCCCUUGCUCUCGUGCUCCUUUUCUCGCCAUGGCCACCGUUCCGCCGGCGACCGAUUCGCGCCGCCGCCUGAGCUCCUCGCCGCCAUGGCCAGAGGCCGUGUUCGUCGCUCCUAGGCACGUAGACGUGCUUCAGACCUCGCCAGGAACCCAACCCGCACCCCAACUCGCUCUCUCGAGCGCUGCAGCCGCAUCCCCGCACUCGGCCGAACUCCGGCCGCCGCUCCGCCCGUCGCCGCCGCCGCUACACUGCACCCCGGCACCCCCCGCUACCUCCUUUAGAUGCGCCGCACCGCCAGCUCGCCAUAGCCGCAAACCACACGCGAAGCGGUGCUUGUUAGCGCCAUCCCGAGCAACUCCGGCGUGCCACCGCCGUGCCUUUGGUCGCCGGCGUCAACUGCUGACGUGGCGCCGGAUUAGUUAGCACUAAUGACCCGGCUAAAUACCCUUAGUGCCACUGCCAUGUGGGCCCUGUGCCUGUUUAGUUUAGUUUAAUUUUCUGUUUAGAUUAGUUCAUAACCCAGUGGGACCGACUCAAAUUUUCAAACGAGUCCGAAUCGGUGGUGGAAAUUACGAACGAAAAAAAACCCUCUCAUUUGAGCCCUUUUUCCCGAAAUAAUUGAGCAUUUAUGGGAUUACGCACAAAGCAAGGGAGUUUUCUGCAAAAAACAUGCCACGUCAGCACCUGACAGGCGGGCCCAACCGGUCAGUUUCCGUGUCAAUACGUAUAAACAGCUGUUUUAGCCUCUUUUGCAACGUCUCGCCCCAAAGUUGGUACUGACACGUAAAAAUUACCAAUCUUGAUAUCAAUCUGCUUCCAAUGCCCCAAUUGUGGUACUUUUAUGCAAUUUACUCAGGUGGAUUCGAUGGCGCAGAGGGAGGCGGCCAGUGGGAACACGGGGCGAUUGGGAGAGGUCGGCGAGGCCAUGCAGAUCCAAUGGCAUAUGGGGCGCACGACCCCGAUAGACUGCAGAUACCCAUUGUGGACCUUGGGGAGGCAGAUCCGAUGGUGAGGAGGGAAGCUGUCGAUGCGGAGGUGGGUUAAGGAGUAAGCUAAGAGAGAGUAUCAGAGGCUAUAUAUGAGACUGGCAGAUGACAAAAGCAGGGUGCCCCACAUUCUCACCUGCUGAUUCUCAGGCUAAAACUACUUCGUUGGUAGAAAAUCUACUUACCUAGGAACAGGCGAUGGAACAUACCAAGGACACACGUGCUACGAAGAAAUAUAAGAUUCUCAAAACAGGGAAAGCUACGGAUACACAUUAAGCUAGGCUAACAAGUAUCUUCGUUUGACCUUGGGUUCAUUGUUUCAUGCUGGAGUCAAGCUCUACUGGUCGGCCUGAGACGGAGUGGAGAGUAGGUGUGACGCCCGGAUAAUUAAGCUACAGCAAUCCCACGUUAACAAUGCCACAUCACCCCGUUUACUGUUGAUAAACUCUCGAUAGUUCAGAACCGAUCCAAAUUCAAAUUUGAAUUAAAGGCAAACAAUAAAAGUUUUUCAAAUUCUCAAAACUAAAAUGUUCUUAUUGUGACAAUUAAAUCAUCGAUAGUAUUGGUGGAGAAACAACAUUUUUAUAAAAUAAUUAAUUACUCUAAAGUGAUUAGAACUGCAGCAAAACAAUUAAGUAAAUACCUUUUUCGAUUAAUAAAAUUCUAAACUAAUUUAUUUCGGGGUAAAACAUUUAUGGCAGUGGGUGGUUCUCAAACAUCAAUUUAGGAGUUGCUAUCAUUUUUUUCUAAGCUAAAAACAAUGUGUAUCUAAAAUAAAACAGAACAGAAAAAUANNNNNNNNNNNNNNNNNNNNNNNNNNNNNNNNNNNNNNNNNNNNNNNNNNNNNNNNNNNNNNNNNNNNNNNNNNNNNNNNNNNNNNNNNNNNNNNNNNNNNNNNNNNNNNNNNNNNNNNNNNNNNNNNNNNNNNNNNNNNNNNNNNNNNNNNNNNNNNNNNNNNNNNNNNNNNNNNNNNNNNNNNNNNNNNNNNNNNNNNNNNNNNNNNNNNNNNNNNNNNNNNNNNNNNNNNNNNNNNNNNNNNNNNNNNNNNNNNNNNNNNNNNNNNNNNNNNNNNNNNNNNNNNNNNNNNNNNNNNNNNNNNNNNNNNNNNNNNNNNNNNNNNNNNNNNNNNNNNNNNNNNNNNNNNNNNNNNNNNNNNNNNNNNNNNNNNNNNNNNNNNNNNNNNNNNNNNNNNNNNNNNNNNNNNNNNNNNNNNNNNNNNNNNNNNNNNNNNNNNNNNNNNNNNNNNNNNNNNNNNNNNNNNNNNNNNNNNNNNNNNNNNNNNNNNNNNNNNNNNNNNNNNNNNNNNNNNNNNNNNNNNNNNNNNNNNNNNNNNNNNNNNNNNNNNNNNNNNNNNNNNNNNNNNNNNNNNNNNNNNNNNNNNNNNNNNNNNNNNNNNNNNNNNNNNNNNNNNNNNNNNNNNNNNNNNNNNNNNNNNNNNNNNNNNNNNNNNNNNNNNNNNNNNNNNNNNNNNNNNNNNNNNNNNNNNNNNNNNNNNNNNNNNNNNNNNNNNNNNNNNNNNNCUUGCAGCCCCGCUGCUCCGGGCGCGACCACAGUCGCCGUGCGCCCACGCCCGAGCGCCCUUGGGCGUGCGCCGAUCGGGCAGCGCCCGUUGCCCGUUCGCCCGUGCCCGUUUGGCCCUAUGGGCCACUGCCCAGUGGGGCCCCCCGCCCCACGCCCCUCUGUUAAAAAAAAGGUUAAAAAAAUGAUAAUAAUAAAUAAAAAUAUUAAAUAGUUAAUUAAUAAAUUAAUUAGCUUAAUUAAUUCUGUUAGUUAUCUAAUUAAACCUAAUUAACCUGUUAAUAAAACUAACUACUGAUAAUUAGUUAGCUGUCAAUGACAAAUGGACCCCACCUGUCAGUUGACCGGUCAACGGUCAACUUUGACCGCUGACAUCAUGCUGUCGUCAUGAUGAUGCAGUAAUUCUUUUUCGAAUUAAUUAAUUAAUAAUAAUCCCAGUAAAUGAUUAAAUCUUUAUAAAAUAUUAUAAAAUAAACCGUAACUCGGAUGGAAAAACUUUGUACAUGAAAGUUGCUCAGAACGACGAGACGAAUCCGGAUACGCAGCCCGUUCGUCCGCCACACAUCCCUAGCAUAGCAAACACGCAACUUUCCUCUCCGAUUCAUCUGUCCGAAAACGUGAAACACCGGGGAUACUUUCCCGGAUGUUUCCCCCCUUCGCUGGUAUCACAUAUCCCUGCGUUACGUCACCCCUAGCACAACGUAUUGCCGCGUCUUGCUUUGUGUUACAUUUGAUUGCUCUGUUAUUUAUUGUGUUCCCCCUCCGUUACUUCUUUCCAGUAGGCUCCGAGACUGUUGUCGAUACCCCUGUGAUCGGCUACAUCGACGACGACCCCUUCUUCUUGCCAGAGCAACCAGGCAAGCCCCCCCUCCUUGAUCACCAGAUAUCGCCUAUUCCUUCUCUAUACUGCUUGCAUUAGAGUAGUGUAGCAUGUUACUGCUUUCGGUUAAUCCUAUACUGAUGCAUAGCCUGUCAUUGUUUCUACAGUUGUUACCCUUACCUGCUAUCCUACUGCUUAGUAUAGGAUGCUAGUGUUCCAUCAGUGGCCCUACACUCUUGUCCGUCUGCCAUGCUAUACUACUGGGCCGUGAUCACUUCGGGAGGUGAUCACGGGUAUAUACUAUAUACUUUAUAUACAUGACACAUGUGGUGACUAAAGUCGGGUCGGCUCGUUGAGUACCCGCAAGUGAUUCUGGUGAGGGGGCUGAAAGGACAGGUGGCUCCAUCCCGGUAGAGGUGGGUCUGGGUUCCUGACGGCCCCCGACUGUUACUUUAUGGCGGAGCGACAGGGCAGGUUGAGACCACCUAGGAGAGAGGUGGGCCUGGCCCUGGUCGGCAUUCGCGGAUACUUAACACGCUUAACGAGAUCUUGGUAUUUGAUCUGAGUCUGGCCAUUUGGUCUAUACGCACUAACCAACUACGCGGGAACAGUUAUGGGCACUCGACGUCGUGGUAUCAGCCGAAGCUCUUCUUGACGUCAGCGACGCAGCGGCGCGCGCCGGAUUGGACUGGAACGCCUGCUAGGCUAGGUCUGCUUCCGGCCGCGUACGCAACGUGCAGGUGUGCAAUGAGCGAUGGGCCCAGACCCCUGCGCGCAUAGGAUUUAGACCGGCGUGUUGACCUCUCUAUUCAGCCUAGGUGGGGCUGCGACGUGUUGAUCUUCCGCGGCCGGGCAUGACCCAGAAAAGUGUGUCCGGCCAAAUGGGAUCGAGCGUGUUGGGUUAUGUGGUGCACCCCUGCAGGGAAGUUUAUCUAUUCGAUUAGCCGUGUCCCUCGGUAAAAGGACGACCCGGAGUUGUACCUUGACCUUAUGACAACUAGAACUGGAUACUUAAUAAAACACACCCUUCCAAGUGCCAGAUAUAACCCGGUGAUCGCUCUCUAACAGGGCGACGAGGAGGGGAUCGCCAGGUAGGAUUAUGCUAUGCGAUGCUACUUGGUGAACUUACCAUCUACUCUCUUCUACAUGCUGCAAGAUGGAGGUGGCCAGAAGCGUAGUCUUCGACAGGAUUAGCUAUCCCCCUCUUAUUCUGGCAUUCUGCAGUUCAGUCCACCGAUAUGACCCUUUACACAUAUACCCAUACAUAUGUAGUGUAGCUCCUUGCUUGCGAGUACUUUGGAUGAGUACUCACGGUUGCUUUUCUCCCUCUUUUCCCCUUUCUAUACCUGGUUGUCGCAACCAGAUGCUGGAGUCCAGGAGCUAGAGACCCCGAGGAUGAUUCUACGUGGAGUUCGGCUUCGAGGAGUAGUUAGGAGGUCCCAGGCAGGAGGCCUUGCCUUUUCGAUCGUUGCUACUUUUGUGCUAGCCUUCUUAAGGCAAACUUGUUUAACUUAUGUCUGUACUCAGAUAUUGUUGCUUCCGCUAACUCGUCUAUGAUCGAGCACUUGUAUUCGAGCCCUCGAGGCCCCUGGCUUGUAUUAUGAUGCCUGUAUGACUUAUUUAUGUUGUAGGGUUGUGUUGUGAUAUCUUCCCGUGAGUCCCUGAUCUUGAUCGUACACAUUUGCGUGCAUGAUUAGUGUACGGUCGAAUUGGGGGUGUCACAGUGGGAGCGGCACCAGAGGUUUUGGAUGGCGAAGCAAGGAUGGUGUUGAUGUGGCCCAUCAACGGUGGGACCUCGUCACUGACGGGUCAGUAGUAGCCACCCGCCGGAGCUGAGUGGUCGUCAGUGUUUUGGCACACAUGCUCGACCACUCUAUUCACCUCUUGCAGGUCACCAUAUUGCCCAUUAGUGGUGACUUCCGACACCAUUGUCUACGGGUUAUCGUUGGUGGAUUAACAAUGACCCAUCAUCAAUGUCCGUCAUUGAUGGGUAGAUCUAGGCCUAUCAGUAGUAAACUGACUGGUGUAAUGUUAUUUGUACUAUUGAUGUUAGUUAUUCCUUCAUAUUUGACAUCAUGUAGUCCAUUAGACUGGGGCAUUUGGACCCGCAGUAAAAGAAAAGAAAAGUAGAAAGAAUGAGUUAAGCGACUAGUCACACCCCUCCCACUCGAUCACGAAACAUAGAAGACAUUUCCUAUAUCAUGCUCAUUGCCUUAGUUUCUCGAGGAUUCGCACAGAGCGAUCAUCACGGGCCAGGCCCAUUAGCGUAGUAAGGCAAAACCAUAUUUUUUACAUUUGUUCGCUAGCAGUUGGUUUGAGAGCCAUUUUUCGUGUUCCUUCUGGUUCUAGUUUCUUCUUUUCAUCCAUUAGCUUUAUUCAUAUUUUUUGACACAAAUUUUUAAAAACCUUUCACGUCUUUUUUUAACAAAAAUCUAUAAAAUUGAAAAUUAUUCAUAAAUUUUUUAAAAUGUUCACAUAAUUUAAAAACAUCCACAUUUUUAAACAUAUAUUCACAAAUUCAAAUUCACAAAAAUUUCAUGUUUUUCUGAAGAAUAUUCUGGAAUUUUUAAAAUUGUUCUCAAAUUUUUAAAAAUGCUUGGUUUCUUAGAGUGAAAAUAAAAAUUGUGUGUUUGUGAAAGGAAACUACUUGAAAACAUAUAGAAAACCAAAACAAAA
This 58712-nucleotide long non-coding RNA is filed under the name Triticum aestivum (bread wheat). Its description in RNAcentral is "long non-coding RNA (TAES_LNC017716)". Lineage: Eukaryota; Viridiplantae; Streptophyta; Magnoliopsida; Poales; Poaceae. The record is from RNAcentral.